CAGGUUCUUCGUCGUUCCAAUCAAACCAGGAUGAAUCACUUUGUAUGAAGCUUGAUUUUGAUACAUAAAAUAGUGGAGAAACACCAGGAAGUUGAAUAAAUCUCAUAGGAGUUGGGAUGAAGAAGUUAUCCCACUUUCUAAUCAGGUGAUUCCAGUUUCCCAGUUUGGGAAUAGGACAGCUUCUCCGUCGUUCCAAUCAAACCAGGAUGAAUCACUUUGUAAGAAGCUUGAUUUGGAUAUAUAAAGUGUUGGAGAAUCACCAGGAAGUUGAAUAAAUCUCAUAGGAGUUGGGAUGAAGAAGUUAUCCCACUUUCAAAUCAGGUNNNNNNNNNNNNNNNNNNNNNNNNNNNCCCAGGUGAUUCCAGUUUCCCAGUUUUAUCCCACUUUCAAAUCAGGUGAUUCCAGUUUCCCAGUUUUGGAAUAGGACAGCUUCUUCGUCAAUCCAAUCAAACCAGGAUGAAUCACUUUGUAAGAAGCUGUAUUUGGAUACAUAAAAUGGUGGGGAAACACCAGGAAGUUGAAUAAAUCUCAUAGGAGUUGGGAUUAAGAAGUUAUCCCACUUUAAAAUCAGGUGAUUCCAGUUUCCCAGUUUGGGAAUAGGACAGCUUCUUCGUCGUUCCAAUCAAACCAGGAUGAAUCACUUUGUAAGAAGCUUGAUUUGGAUACAUAAAGUGUUGGAGAAUCACCAGGAAGUUGAAUAAAUCUCAUAGGAGUUGGGAUGAAGAAGUUAUUCCACUUUCAAAUUAGGUGAUUCCAGUUUCCCAGUUUGGGAAUAGGACAGCUUCUUCGUCGUUCCAAUCAAACCAUGAUGAAUCACUUUGUAAGAAGCUUGAUUUUGAUACAUAAAAUGGUGGAGAAACACCAGGAAGUUGAAUAAAUCUCAUAGGAGUUGGGAUGAAGAAGUUAUCCCACUUUCUAAUCAGGUGAUUCCAGUUUUCCAGUUUGGGAAUAGGACAGGUUCUUCGUCGUUCCAAUCAAACCAGGAUGAAUCACUUUGUAAGAAGCUGUAUUUGGAUACAUAAAGUGUUGGAGAAACACCAGGAAGUUGAAUAAAUCUCAUAGGAGUUGGGAUGAAGAAGUUAUCCCACUUUCAAAUCAGGUGAUUCCAGUUUCCCAGUUUGGGAAUAGGACAGCUUCUUCGUCAAUCCAAUCAAACCAGGAUGAAUCACUUUGUAAGUAUACACUUUUGUGUAUUAGAGCAUGAUUCAACCAAUCAGGGAUAAUCAGAUGAAAAGAUUAAAGAGAUUAAGAGAUUCUAGUGAGAGAAUAAAGAGAGAGAGACUCAAAACUCCAUUAAUUAAUAACUGAUGAGGUUUACAAGUAUUAAUAGAGAGAGCAACAAGGAAAUUUGAAAUGGUUAAGCAUGUGUAGUCAAAGGACAGGCUGGAACUCCUUUUGAAUCACUUGGCUGUGCUUUCUCACAUGCUUGCACUAGUAUAAAGGUAACUUCUCCUUUCCAGCAUCAUACAGGCUGUCAAAGUGAUCCCUUGUCUUUCCUUAACCUCACUUAUCCUCUUUGGUCGAGUUUCCUCUCUUCUCUUCACUAAGUUACCUUCUCAUCCCAUCAGAUAACUUCCCCAAGUAGUUACUGUGGUUAAAAUAAAGUUACCACAGUAAAACUCUAAAGUUACUGUCUCAGCCUCCUUGGUCUUCAUCUCAAUACUCCCCCUCAAGCUUGACCAUGUAGAACAAGUCAAGCUUGGAAACCAUGAAGACCUCCCUCGUUAAAAACCUCACCAAGUAAAACCCAUUGGGAUAAAACCUUGAUGAGGGAAAAAGAGUGGAGACUCCAUGGUUAAGGGGCUCAGCUCCUAGGAGUCAGAUCAAUGAGUCCAAGCCUUGACAGUAUGGACUCCAUUGUCUUCAAUCUCGCUGCCUUAGUAAACACAUCUGCAAGCUGAUCUUCACUUCUUGUAUAACAUGGCAGAAUCACUCCUAAGAUGAUCAUCUGCCUCACCUUAUGACAAUCCACCUCUAUGUGCUUUGUUCUCUCAUGAAACACUGAAUUGGAGGCAAUGUGGAUAGCUGCUUGAUUGUCACAAUGCAUUGUCAUAGGUGUGGCCUGCUCGAUCUCCAAGUGCUUCAAGAUCCCCUUGAUCCACACCAACUCAUUUGUAAGCUUCAACAUAGCUCUAUACUCAGCUUCAGCACUUGAACAGGAGAUGACCUUCUGCUUCUUACUCUUCCAAGUAACCAGAUUCCCUCCAAUGAAUGUACAAUACCCAGUAGUUGAUCUACUGUCCACUCUAUCUCCUGCCCAAUCAGCAUCACAAUACCCAUCCACUUCUGUACUGCCAUUGCAACCCAUCCAAACUCCUUGUCCAUGUGAGCCACUCAAAUACCUCAGUAUCCUAUCAACCAUCUUCCAGUGAUGUACCUUUGGCGCCUGCAUAUGUUGGCUCACUUGAUUCACAGCAAAGCAUAUAUCAGGUCUGGUGAUAGUCAAGUAGAUCAGCUUACCCACCAUCCUCCUAUACAGCUUAGCAUCCUCAAACAACUGGUUCUCUUCAACCUCCCCCUCACGCAAGACCUUAUACCCUUCCUCAAGAGGUGUCUUAGCUAUCUUCCCUCCAAGCACAUCAGUCUCCUUCAGCAUAUCCAUAGUAUACUUCCUUUGAGACAUAAACAAACCCUCCUUAGAUCUGCAUAUCUCAAUCCCCAAAAAAUACUUCAUCUCUCCCAAGUCUUUAAUAUCAAACACAGACUUGAGAAACUCUUUGGUGGCUUUAAUCCCAGCCUUAUCACUCCCUGUGAUAAUCAAAUCAUCCACAUACACCAAAAUCACUAUGAUCCCUGAUGGUCCAACCAGUGUGAAGAGUGUAUGAUCUAGUUCAGACUUCCUGAACCCUCUCCCAUUGAGAGUUGUACUAAGCUUUCUGUACCAAGCUCUAGGAGACUGCUUCAGCCCAUAUAUAGCCUUCUUCAAUCUCAAAACAUUCCCUGGCUUUACUAGAUGCUCAAGACCAGGAGGUGGAUGCAUGUAUACUUCAUCUUCAAGUUCACCUUGCAAGAAGGCAUUCUUCACAUCCAUUUGCCACAAAUCCCACUCCAAGUUUGUUGCAAUAGAUAACACAAUUCGAAUUGUGUGAAGCUUGGCCACUGGUGCAAAAGUAUCAAUGUAAUCUUCCCCAUAAGUCUGUGUAAAUCCUCUUGCAACCAGCCUAGUCUUGCGCCUAUCUAUCUCCCCAUUUGCAAGGUACUUGAUGGUGAAGAUCCAUCUGCUUGAAACUGCCUUCUUCCCUUUAGGUAACUCACUCUCAUACCAAGUAUCAUUCCUGAUCAUUGCAUCCCUUUCAUCUCCUACUGAAUCUCUCCAAACCUUGUGCUUCAUAGCUUCUUCAUAAGAUCUUGGUAUCUCAUUCUCAUCCAAGUUACACAUAAACACCAUGUGCUCUUCUGGAUAUUCUGCAAAGGAACACACGGCUUGAGAGGGAUGCUCCACAGCCUGGGCAUUGUAGUACACUCUCGUGUUUACCCAGUUGGAAGGAUCCCUCCUUAUCCUUGUGCUCCUCCGCAAGGUCUCAACCUGUUCUUCAGCCUGAACAUUCUCUUGUGCUUCCUCUCUUAAACCAGUAGGUUCUCCCUGCUCAUUUCCACCUGACUGAGCUUCACUCUCUACUUCAUGUGUCUCCUCCUGAUCAUGCUGACCUGAAUCCUCUUGGUUAUGCUCCUGCUCCCCUGAUUCAGAUCCAUUCCCCCUCUCAUGAUCAAGAGGGGUUGUUCCUCCAGCUUCUCCAGUUUGAUUAGAAGGUCCGGUUCUUCCUGGUUCCUGAUCUUGGGAUAAUCCUAUCCCUAGCCUCUCCAACAACACUCUCAAUGUUGUUGCCUUCUCUGAUGGAGCUCGGGACAGAUCCUCUAGGUCUACCCAUUUCUUCUCCUCAUAAUACCCUUUAGACUCAACAAACUUCACUUCUCUAGAUACCAUAACCCUCCUAGUUAUUGGAUCAUAACAUUUGUAGCCUUUCUGAGUGAUUGAAUACCCAAUGAACAUAGCUUUAGUACUCUUUGCUUCUAGCUUGUUCCUUCUUUCUCCGGGAAUCAUCACAUAACAUAAGCACCCAAAGACUCUCAAAUGAUCAAUGUGUGGCUUGGCCUUGUUCAAUACUUCAAAGGGAGACAGUUUCUUCAAGACACGGGUUGGCACUCUAUUGAUGAGAUAGCAAGCAGUCUGAACAGCAUCACUCCAAAACCUCUUAGGGACAUUCAUGUGGAACAUGAUUGAUCUCGCAACCUCCAUCAAAUGUCUGUUCUUCCUCUCAGCCACCCCAUUUUGUUGUGGUGUGUAAGGACAGCUAGUUUGUUGCACAAUCCCAUGCUUUGCAAGAUGACUCUUGAAAGCAUUGCUAGUGUAUUCUCCUCCAUUAUCAGACCUCAGAAUCCUCACAGUGGCAUUGUACUGAUUAGUAACAUAUGCUUGGAAGUUCAUGAAGGCUUCUAGGACUCUGUCUUUGGAGGGAAUCAUGGUGAUCCAUGUGUACUUGGACUUCUCAUCAAUGAAAGUCACAAAGUACUUAUGGCGGUCUCUAGACAUACAGGGAGCUGUCCACACGUCUGAAUGAGACUUCUCAUCAAUGAAAGUCACAAAGUACUUAUGGCUGUCUCUAGACAUACAGGGAGCUGUCCACACGUCUGAAUGCACCAGAUCAAAGCAAUUCUCAUAUCUGGUUUCUGAUGUUGGGAAGACAGUCCUACAGUGCUUUCCAAGUAUACAAGCUUCACACUCCAAGUGAUUGAACGCCAUACUUGGUAGAAUCAGUUCAAUUGCCUUGGCAUGAGGAUGUCCCAGCCUUGCAUGCCAUGUGAGAUUAUCACACCUAUCCGUUGUGCUGCUUAAACACACAGACUCCACAGGACUAGGCGCCUCAGUUGUUUGGAGAUGAUAGAGCUGAUGCUUGCUGUCUCCUCUGCCAAUAACCCUUCCAGUCUUCAAAUCCUGGAACUCAACUUCAUUUGGUCUGAAAACCACUUGACAAUCCAGAUCAACUGUAGCCUUCUUAACUGAGAUUAGAUUGGAUGUAAACUGAGGUAGGUAGAAGGCAGUGGAGUUCUUCUCAAACAGCUUGAGGUUUCCCACUCCUUCUAUUGGGAUCCUGGUACCAUUGGCUAUCAUGACACUCCCUGUUGCUGCUUUAACCUCACUGAUUAGUCUCUUGUCACUGAUCAUGUGGUGUGUUGCUCCAGAGUCAAUGAUGAUGGGUUUAGAUGUGGAUGCUUUGGCAGGAGCACCCAGACUCCGGGUCGUAGCCAAAGCAUACACAUGCUUAACCAACUCAUCCCAUUCCUUCUUUGUCACACACUCAUCUGCCCUCUUGGUAUCCAUUCCUCUCAUAUCCGCACUGUCUCCUACUGUCUCUCCCAUGUAAGCUGAGUAUGAACACUCUCCUAUAACCAUCUGCUGAAGUACAUCCUUGAUUCUAUUCAAGAUUACACUCAUCCUGUCACUUAAGUGCUCAGACUCGCUAUCCUUUCUCCACGCCCUUCUCUUCAUUAACCACUCCUUAGAAAGUUUUCUCAACCUUCCCCUCUUACAGCUUGUACCUCCCUUCCAUCUUUCUGGCUUCCUGUUCAUUUCCCACACAUCACAAGUAUAUUUAACAAGCUCACAUACCUCUUCCAUAAGGAAGCUGAAGAUCACAUCUUGCUUCCUCCUUUCUUGACAACAUCUCGGAUUUGAUGUGUGUGUCUUCACCACAUCUAGCUCCGACCAUACUUCUCUCAGCCUUCCCACAAGCUGAUAACACUCAUCCUUUCCUUGUCUCAAGCCGCGGAUCACCCCUCUGUCCUCAACGACUCUCACAAGCUUGGACUUGCCUAAAGUUGCUUCAAUCUCACUCUUUGUAGUGUCUCCUUGAACAACUUCAUUUCCCAGCUUCAGACCUCUUGUCUGACCUUCUUCAGUAGCCAUUUCCAUGAAAGGUUUCCCCUUUCCAUGACUACUCCAUAACCCACAGCUUUCCAAAGCUCUCUUUGCCCAUCUUGACCAAUCGCCAUCCCUCUCUUCUUCAAGCUCCAUGGUUGUACUAGAUCUGUGCUUCAUUUCCAUGUUGAGAUAGUUUGAAUCCAUCAGAAUAUCUCACACCACUCAGAUAAUAAAGACCAGAACUCAAGAACACCAAGAACACUCAAGAACCCUCAAGAACACUCAAGAACACCCAGAUUUUAUGAAAAACGAAAUCACACUCUCCCCUUUUUAGCAACCUGGCUCUGAUACCAAGUUUGUUGAAACAAAAGGUUAUUAUGAAGAAAAGGAGUGGGAAAAUCUGAAGGAUUUGUCUCAAGCUCCAUCUGAUAAGGCAACAAUACUGAGAGUGUUGUUGGAGAAGCUCGGGAUAGGGUUCAAGAACCCUCAAGAACACUCAAGAACACCCAGAUUUUAUGAAAAACGAAAUCACACUCUCCCCUUUUUAGCAACCUGGCUCUGAUACCAUAUACACUUUUGUGUAUUAGAGCAUGAUUCAACCAAUCAGGGAUAAUCAGAUGAAAAGAUUAAAGAGAUUAAGAGAUUCUAGUGAGAGAAUAAAGAGAGAGAGACUCAAAACUCCAUUAAUUAAUAACUGAUGAGGUUUACAAGUAUUAAUAGAGAGAGCAACAAGGAAAUUCGAAAUUGUUAAGCAUGUGUAGUCAAAGGACAGGCUGGAACUCCUUUUGAAUCACUUGGCUGUGCUUUCUCACAUGCUUGCACUAGUAUAAAGGUAACUUCUCCUUUCCAGCAUCAUACAGGCUGUCAAAGUGAUCCCUUAUCCUUCCUUAACCUCACUUAUCCUCUUUGGUCGAGUUUCCUCUCUUCUCUUCACUAAGUUACCUUCUCAUCCCAUCAGAUAACUUCCCCAAGUAGUUACUGUGGUUAAAAUAAAGUUACCACAGUAAAACUCUAAAGUUACUGUCUCAGCCUCCUUGGUCUUCAUCUCAAUAGGGUUAUCCCAGGAUCAGGAACCCGGAAGGAGAGAGCCUUCCAAUCAGACUGGUGGAGCUGGAAGAACACCUCCUCUUGAUCAUGAGAGGGGGAAUGGAACUGAAUCUGGUGAGCAAGAGCAAAACCAAGAGGAUUCAGGUCUUCAUGAUCAAGAUACAUCACAAGAAGUUGAGAACAAUGUUCAGUCUAGUGGAGAAGUGGAUGAGGUUCAGUCUAGUGGAGAAGUGGAUGAGGUUCAGUCUAGUAGAGAAGAACAAGUCGGACCAGCCGGUUCAGAAGAAGAGCAAGUGGAGCCAGCUAGUGUGCAAACUGAAGAUCAGGUUCAAGCUUUGAGGAGGAGCACAAGGAUAAAGAGGGAUCCUUCCAACUGGGUAAACACGAGAGUGUACUACAAUGCCCAGGCUGUGGAGCAUCCUUCUCAAGCCGUGUGUUCCUUUGCUGAGUUUCCAGAGGAGCAUUAUGCCUUUAUGAUUAGUCUGGAUGAGAGUUAUGUACCAAGGACUUAUGAAGAAGCUAUGUUAGACAAGGAAUGGAAAGAAUCAGUGGGAGCUGAAGCAGGUGCUAUGAUCAAAAAUGAUACAUGGUAUGAGAGUGAGCUGCCUAAGGGAAAGAAGGCUGUAUCUAGUAGAUGGAUCUUCACAAUCAAGUAUCUAGCAAAUGGACAGAUUGAUAGGAAGAAGACCAGAUUGGUUGCAAGAGGAUUUACACAGACCUAUGGAGAGGAUUACAUUGAUACCUUUGCACCAGUAGCUAAGCUGCACACAGUUCGGAUUGUGUUGUCCAUUGCAACAAACUUGGAGUGGGAUUUGUGGCAAAUGGAUGUGAAGAAUGCUUUCCUGCAAGGUGAACUUGAAGAUGAAGUAUACAUGCAUCCGCCUCCUGGUCUUGAGCAUCUAGUAAAGCCAGGGAAUGUUUUGAGGUUGAAGAAGGCAAUAUAUGGGCUGAAACAAUCACCUAGAGCUUGGUACAGGAAGCUGAGUACAACACUCAAUGGGAGAGGGUUUAGGAAGUCUGAAUUAGAUCACACUCUCUUCACCUUGACAGGACCUUCAGGGAUCAUUGUGAUACUGGUAUAUGUGGAUGAUUUGAUUAUCACAGGGAGUGAUAAGGCUGGGAUUAAAGCCACUAAAGAGUUCCUCAAGUCUGUGUUUGAUAUCAAAGACUUGGGAGAGAUGAAGUAUUUCUUGGGGAUUGAGAUAUGCAGAUCCAAGGAGGGUUUGUUUAUGUGUCAAAGGAAGUAUACAAUGGAUAUGCUGAAAGAGACUGAUGUACUUGGAGGAAAGGUAGCCAAGACACCUCUUGAAGAGGGGUAUAAGGUCUUACGUGAGGGGGAGGUUGAAGAGAACCAGCUGUUUGAGGAUGCUAAGCUGUAUAGGAAGAUGGUUGGCAAGCUAAUCUACUUGACCAUUACCAGGCCAGAUAUAUGCUUUGCUGUGAAUCAAGUGAGUCAACAUAUGCAGGCGCCAAAGGUCCAUCACUGGAAGAUGGUUGAUAGGAUACUAAGGUAUCUGAGUGGGACGGCUGGACAAGGAGUUUGGAUGGGCUGUAAUGGCAGUACAGAAGUGGUUGGGUAUUGUGAUGCUGAUUGGGCAGGAGAUAGAGUGGACAGGAGAUCAACUACUGGGUAUUGUACAUUCAUUGGAGGGAACUUGGUUACUUGGAAGAGUAAGAAGCAGAAGGUUAUCUCUUGUUCAAGUGCUGAAGCUGAGUAUAGAGCCAUGUUGAAGCUCACAAACGAGUUGGUGUGGAUCAAAGGGAUCUUGAAGCAUCUAGCAAUUGAGCAGAGUACUCCUAUGACUAUGCAUUGUGACAAUCAAGCAGCUAUCCACAUUGCCUCCAAUUCAGUGUUUCAUGAGAGAACAAAGCACAUAGAGGUGGAUUGUCAUAAGGUGAGGCAGAUGAUUAUCUUGGGAGUGAUUCUGCCAUGUUAUACAAGAAGUGAAGAUCAGCUUGCAGAUGUGUUUACCAAGGCAGCGAGAUUGAAGACAAUGGAGUCCAUACUAUCCAGGCUUGGACUCAUUGAUCUUACUCCCAGGAGCUGAGCCCCUUAACCAUGGAGUCUCCACUCUUUUUCCCUCAUCAAAGUUUUAUCCCAAUGGGUUUUCUUUGGUGAGGUUUUUAAUGAGGGAGGUCUUCAUGGUUUCCAAGCUUGACUUGUUCCACAUGGUCAAGCUUGAGGGGGAGUGUUGAGAAGAGGUGAUAAAGAGUGGGUACAUUGAUAGAGGAAGAGUAAUGGGGCAGUCAGUAACUUUGGAGAUUUACCACAGUAACUUUAGUUUUACUGUGGUAACUAAGGUAUAACUUUGGGAAGUUACCUUUCACCCAUUUGGAGAGUGAAGCACGUCCAAGGAGAGUCUGGAUAAGGAAGAAGCAUUCAUGAUAAGGUCUGGUCAUAGCUGGAAAGGUAAAACACCUUUACAGCCUGUCCAAGCAUGUGAGAACACCCAUUGGCUGCUUUUGGAUGGCUCUCCUUGACUCCACACGUUCCUGAUCUCCUCUGACCCUAUGAUUUCGAAUUGUAUCUUGUAUCACUCAUAUAAAGCCUUGUAAACCUCAUUGUUAAUAAUUAAUGGAGUUUUGAGUAUUCUCUCUUGUUCUUUAUUCUCUUAGUCUCUCAUUAAUCUCCUAAUCUCAUACAAACUACACAAAUCAUCUCUUGAUAUUCAUUCAUCACUCUACAUACACAAAAGUGUAUAUGGUAUCAGAGCCAGGUUGCGCAAAGGGGAGAGGGUGUAUGAUUAUGAUUUUCGAAAUCUGAGUUUCUUGAGGUGUUUUUGAGGUGUUCUUGGUGUUCUUGAUGUGUUCUUGGUGCUUUUUGGUGUGCUUGAGAUCGAAUUGAGUCUGUGGAGAGUUUCUGAUGGAUUCAAACGAGUUAAGCAUGGUGGAGGAGACAAGAUCAAGAAGUGAAGAGAAGAAAGAGAGAGAAAACGAGUGUGCUUGGUCAAGCUGGAUAAAGACAGCUUUUGAAAGCUGUGGGAUUUGGAGUAAUCAUGAAAAGGAAGAACCUUUAAAGGUGAGAGCUGCUGAGAAAGAUCAGACAGCAAGUUUGGAGGAGAUUCAAGUAAAGGUGGAACCUUUAAGGGAGGUAGCUGCUGAAGAAGGUCAGACAGCAAGGUUGGAGGAGAUUCAAGUAAAGGUGGAACCUUUAAAGGAGGUAGCUGCUGAAGAAGGUCAGACAGCAAGGUUGGAGGUUCAUGAAGCCAAGGGCGUGAUCUAUAGUCUAAGACAAGGGAAGAAUGAGUUGUAUCAGCUUGUGAGGAGGCUGAGAGAAGUAGAAUCAGAGUUGAGUAUGGUAAAAACUCAUACAGCAAGUCCGAGUUGGUGUCAAGGAAGGAGGAAGCAAGAUGUGAUCUUUGGCUUUCUUAUGGGAGAGUUAUGUAAGCUGGUUGAACACAUGUGUGAUGUGUGGGAGAUAAACAAGAAGCCAGAUAGAUGGAAGAGAGGUACAAGGUGCAAGAAGGGAAAGUUGAGAAAACUUUCUAAGAUGUGGGUCAUGAUGAGCAGAUUAUGGAGAAAGGAUAUCAAGGAGAGUAUGCAAGUAGGAGAAUGCUUGUACUCAGCUUACAUUGGAGAAUCUGUAGAGAGCAGUGGGGUUAUGAGGAAGCUAGAGUCCAAAGGAGCGGAUGAGCCUGUCACAAAGGAGGAAUGGGAUGAGUUUGUCAAGUAUGUGUAUGCUUUGGCUACGACCCGGAGACAAGGUGCUCCUGCCAAAGCAUCCACAUCCAACAAACCCAUCAUUGUUGAUUCUGGAGCAAGUCAUCACAUGAUUAGUGACAGAAGCUUAAUGAGUGAUGUAAAGAAAGCUACUGGAGGUGUGAUGAUAGCUAAUGGUGAUAGGAUUCCAAUAGAAGGAGUUGGAAAGCUCAAGCUAUUUGAUAAAGACUCAGAUGCCUUCUACAUGCCACAGUUUGCUUCAAAUCUACUAUCUGUGAGGAGAGCCACGAUUGAUCUUGGCUGUCAAGUAGUAUUCAGGCCAGAUGAUGUUGAAUUCCAAGAUUUGAAGACUGGAAUGGUCAUUGGGAGAGGAGACAGCAAGAAUAAUCUAUACCAGCUCCAAUUGGCUAAGAUCUAUAAACCCUUUGAUUCUAUGUGUUUGAGUAGUACUUAUGAGAAGAUUGAUAGUAUUACUUGGCAUGCUAGAUUGGGACAUCCUCAUGCUCGUGCUAUUGAAUUGAUAAUUCCUAAUAUGUCAUUUAAUCACUUGGAGUGUGAAGCAUGCAUAUUAGGAAAGCAUUGUAGGACUGUUUUUCCAACAUCAGAAACUACUUAUGAGCAUUGCUUUGAUCUAGUUCAUUCAGAUGUGUGGACUGCACCUUGUUUGUCUAGAGAUAGCCAGAAGUACUUUGUGACAUUCAUUGAUGAGAAGUCUAAGUAUACUUGGCUUACAUUGCUUCCAUCUAAAGAUAGGGUGCUAGAAGCAUUUAUGAACUUCCAAGCAUAUGUAUCUAAUCAAUACAAUGCUACUGUGAAGGUACUGAGAUCAGAUAAUGGAGGUGAAUACAUCAGCAAUGCCUUCAAGAGUCAUCUAGCCAAGCAUGGGAUCGUGCAUCAGACUAGCUGCCCUUAUACACCACAGCAGAAUGGUGUAGCUGAGAGGAAGAACAGGCACUUGAUGGAGGUUGCUAGAUCGAUGAUGUUUCAUGCAAAUGUCCCAAAACGUUUUUGGAGUGAUGCUGUGCAGACUGCUUGCUAUCUCAUCAACCGGGUUCCAACCAAGAUAUUGAAGAAUCUGUCUCCAUUUGAAGUGUUGAACAAGAGCAAACCUGUCAUUGAUCACCUACGUGUCUUUGGGUGUGUGUGCUAUGUCAUGGUUCCAGGAGAGCAGAGAAACAAGCUGGAGGCAAAGAGUACUAAGGCUAUGUUCAUUGGUUAUUCUAUCACUCAGAAGGGGUACAAGUGCUAUGAUCCUGAAGCAAGGAGGGUGAUGGUAUCUAGAGAAGUGAAGUUUGUUGAAACAAAAGGUUAUUAUGAAGAAAAGGAGUGGGAAAAUCUGAAGGAUUUGUCUCAAGCUCCAUCUGAUAAGGCAACAAUACUGAGAGUGUUGUUGGAGAAGCUCGGGAUAGGGUUUAUACACUUUUGUGUAUUAGAGCAUGAUUCAACCAAUCAGGGAUAAUCAGAUGAAAAGAUUAAAGAGAUUAAGAGAUUCUAGUGAGAGAAUAAAGAGAGAGAGACUCAAAACUCCAUUAAUUAAUAACUGAUGAGGUUUACAAGUAUUAAUAGAGAGAGCAACAAGGAAAUUCGAAAUUGUUAAGCAUGUGUAGUCAAAGGACAGGCUGGAACUCCUUUUGAAUCACUUGGCUGUGCUUUCUCACAUGCUUGCACUAGUAUAAAGGUAACUUCUCCUUUCCAGCAUCAUACAGGCUGUCAAAGUGAUCCCUUAUCCUUCCUUAACCUCACUUAUCCUCUUUGGUCGAGUUUCCUCUCUUCUCUUCACUAAGUUACCUUCUCAUCCCAUCAGAUAACUUCCCCAAGUAGUUACUGUGGUUAAAAUAAAGUUACCACAGUAAAACUCUAAAGUUACUGUCUCAGCCUCCUUGGUCUUCAUCUCAAUACUCCCCCUCAAGCUUGACCAUGUAGAACAAGUCAAGCUUGGAAACCAUGAAGACCUCCCUCGUUAAAAACCUCACCAAGUAAAACCCAUUGGGAUAAAACCUUGAUGAGGGAAAAAGAGUGGAGACUCCAUGGUUAAGGGGCUCAGCUCCUAGGAGUCAGAUCAAUGAGUCCAAGCCUUGACAGUAUGGACUCCAUUGUCUUCAAUCUCGCUGCCUUAGUAAACACAUCUGCAAGCUGAUCUUCACUUCUUGUAUAACAUGGCAGAAUCACUCCUAAGAUGAUCAUCUGCCUCACCUUAUGACAAUCCACCUCUAUGUGCUUUGUUCUCUCAUGAAACACUGAAUUGGAGGCAAUGUGGAUAGCUGCUUGAUUGUCACAAUGCAUUGUCAUAGGUGUGGCCUGCUCGAUCUCCAAGUGCUUCAAGAUCCCCUUGAUCCACACCAACUCAUUUGUAAGCUUCAACAUAGCUCUAUACUCAGCUUCAGCACUUGAACAGGAGAUGACCUUCUGCUUCUUACUCUUCCAAGUAACCAAGUUCCCUCCAAUGAAUGUACAAUACCCAGUAGUUGAUCUCCUGUCCACUCUAUCUCCUGCCCAAUCAGCAUCACAAUACCCAACCACUUCUGUACUGCCAUUGCAACCCAUCCAAACUCCUUGUCCAUGUGAGCCACUCAAAUACCUCAGUAUCCUAUCAACCAUCUUCCAGUGAUGUACCUUUGGCGCCUGCAUAUGUUGGCUCACUUGAUUCACAGCAAAGCAUAUAUCAGGUCUGGUGAUAGUCAAGUAGAUCAGCUUACCCACCAUCCUCCUAUACAGCUUAGCAUCCUCAAACAACUGGUUCUCUUCAACCUCCCCCUCACGCAAGACUUUAUACCCUUCCUCAAGAGGUGUCUUAGCUAUCUUCCCUCCAAGCACAUCAGUCUCCUUCAGCAUAUCCAUAGUAUACUUCCUUUGAGACAUAAACAAACCCUCCUUAGAUCUGCAUAUCUCAAUCCCCAAAAAAUACUUCAUCUCUCCCAAGUCUUUAAUAUCAAACACAGACUUGAGAAACUCUUUGGUGGCUUUAAUCCCAGCCUUAUCACUCCCUGUGAUAAUCAAAUCAUCCACAUACACCAAAAUCACUAUGAUCCCUGAUGGUCCAACCAGUGUGAAGAGUGUAUGAUCUAGUUCAGACUUCCUGAACCCUCUCCCAUUGAGAGUUGUACUAAGCUUUCUGUACCAAGCUCUAGGAGACUGCUUCAGCCCAUAUAUAGCCUUCUUCAAUCUCAAAACAUUCCCUGGCUUUACUAGAUGCUCAAGACCAGGAGGUGGAUGCAUGUAUACUUCAUCUUCAAGUUCACCUUGCAAGAAAGCAUUCUUCACAUCCAUUUGCCACAAAUCCCACUCCAAGUUUGUUGCAAUAGAUAACACAAUUCGAAUUGUGUGAAGCUUGGCCACUGGUGCAAAAGUAUCAAUGUAAUCUUCCCCAUAAGUCUGUGUAAAUCCUCUUGCAACCAGCCUAGUCUUGCGCCUAUCUAUCUCCCCAUUUGCAAGGUACUUGAUGGUGAAGAUCCAUCUGCUUGAAACUGCCUUCUUCCCUUUAGGUAACUCACUCUCAUACCAAGUAUCAUUCCUGAUCAUUGCAUCCCUUUCAUCUCCUACUGAAUCUCUCCAAACCUUGUGCUUCAUAGCUUCUUCAUAAGAUCUUGGUAUCUCAUUCUCAUCCAAGUUACACAUAAACACCAUGUGCUCUUCUGGAAACUCUGCAAAGGAACACACGGCUUGAGAGGGAUGCUCCACAGCCUGGGCAUUGUAGUACACUCUCGUGUUUACCCAGUUGGAAGGAUCCCUCCUUAUCCUUGUGCUCCUCCGCAAGGUCUCAACCUGUUCUUCAGCCUGAACAUUCUCUUGUGCUUCCUCUCUUAAACCAGUAGGUUCUCCCUGCUCAUUUCCACCUGACUGAGCUUCACUCUCUACUUCCUGUGUCUCCUCCUGAUCAUGCUGACCUGAAUCCUCUUGGUUAUGCUCCUGCUCCCCUGAUUCAGAUCCAUUCCCCCUCUCAUGAUCAAGAGGGGUUGUUCCUCCAGCUUCUCCAGUUUGAUUAGCAGGUCCGGUUCUUCCUGGUUCCUGAUCUUGGGAUAAUCCUAUCCCUAGCCUCUCCAACAACACUCUCAAUGUUGUUGCCUUCUCUGAUGGAGCUCGGGACAGAUCCUCUAGGUCUUCCCAUUUCUUCUCCUCAUAAUACCCUUUAGACUCAACAAACUUCACUUCUCUAGAUACCAUAACCCUCCUAGUUAUUGGAUCAUAACAUUUGUAGCCUUUCUGAGUGAUUGAGUACCCAAUGAACAUAGCUUUAGUACUCUUUGCUUCUAGCUUGUUCCUUCUUUCUCCGGGAAUCAUCACAUAACAUAAGCACCCAAAGACUCUCAAAUGAUCAAUGUGUGGCUUGGCCUUGUUCAAUACUUCAAAGGGAGACAGUUUCUUCAAGACACGGGUUGGCACUCUAUUGAUGAGAUAGCAAGCAGUCUGAACAGCAUCACUCCAAAACCUCUUAGGGACAUUCAUGUGGAACAUGAUUGAUCUCGCAACCUCCAUCAAAUGUCUGUUCUUCCUCUCAGCCACCCCAUUUUGUUGUGGUGUGUAAGGACAGCUAGUUUGUUGCACAAUCCCAUGCUUUGCAAGAUGACUCUUGAAAGCAUUGCUAGUGUAUUCUCCUCCAUUAUCAGACCUCAGAAUCCUCACAGUGGCAUUGUACUGAUUAGUAACAUAUGCUUGGAAGUUCAUGAAGGCUUCUAGGACUCUGUCUUUGGAGGGAAUCAUGGUGAUCCAUGUGUACUUGGACUUCUCAUCAAUGAAAGUCACAAAGUACUUAUGGCUGUCUCUAGACAUACAGGGAGCUGUCCACACGUCUGAAUGCACCAGAUCAAAGCAAUUCUCAUAUCUGGUUUCUGAUGUUGGGAAGACAGUCCUACAGUGCUUUCCAAGUAUACAAGCUUCACACUCCAAGUGAUUGAACGCCAUACUUGGUAGAAUCAGUUCAAUUGCCUUGGCAUGAGGAUGUCCCAGCCUUGCAUGCCAUGUGAGAUUAUCACACCUAUCCGUUGUGCUGCUUAAACACACAGACUCCACAGGACUAGGCGCCUCAGUUGUUUGGAGAUGAUAGAGCUGAUGCUUGCUGUCUCCUCUGCCAAUAACCCUUCCAGUCUUCAAAUCCUGGAACUCAACUUCAUUUGGUCUGAAAACCACUUGACAAUCCAGAUCAACUGUAGCCUUCUUAACUGAGAUUAGAUUGGAUGUAAACUGAGGUAGGUAGAAGGCAGUGGAGUUCUUCUCAAACAGCUUGAGGUUUCCCACUCCUUCUAUUGGGAUCCUGGUACCAUUGGCUAUCAUGACACUCCCUGUUGCUGCUUUAACCUCACUGAUUAGUCUCUUGUCACUGAUCAUGUGGUGUGUUGCUCCAGAGUCAAUGAUGAUGGGUUUAGAUGUGGAUGCUUUGGCAGGAGCACCCAGACUCCGGGUCGUAGCCAAAGCAUACACAUGCUUAACCAACUCAUCCCAUUCCUUCUUUGUCACACACUCAUCUGCCCUCUUGGUAUCCAUUCCUCUCAUAUCCGCACUGUCUCCUACUGUCUCUCCCAUGUAAGCUGAGUAUGAACACUCUCCUAUAACCAUCUGCUGAAGUACAUCCUUGAUUCUAUUCAAGAUUACACUCAUCCUGUCACUUAAGUGCUCAGACUCGCUAUCCUUUCUCCACGCCCUUCUCUUCAUUAACCACUCCUUAGAAAGUUUUCUCAACCUUCCCCUCUUACAGCUUGUACCUCCCUUCCAUCUUUCUGGCUUCCUGUUCAUUUCCCACACAUCACAAGUAUAUUUAACAAGCUCACAUACCUCUUCCAUAAGGAAGCUGAAGAUCACAUCUUGCUUCCUCCUUUCUUGACAACAUCUCGGAUUUGAUGUGUGUGUCUUCACCACAUCUAGCUCCGACCAUACUUCUCUCAGCCUUCCCACAAGCUGAUAACACUCAUCCUUUCCUUGUCUCAAGCCGCGGAUCACCCCUCUGUCCUCAACGACUCUCACAAGCUUGGACUUGCCUAAAGUUGCUUCAAUCUCACUCUUUGUAGUGUCUCCUUGAACAACUUCAUUUCCCAGCUUCAGACCUCUUGUCUGACCUUCUUCAGUAGCCAUUUCCAUGAAAGGUUUCCCCUUUCCAUGACUACUCCAUAACCCACAGCUUUCCAAAGCUCUCUUUGCCCAUCUUGACCAAUCGCCAUCCCUCUCUUCUUCAAGCUCCAUGGUUGUACUAGAUCUGUGCUUCAUUUCCAUGUUGAGAUAGUUUGAAUCCAUCAGAAUAUCUCACACCACUCAGAUAAUAAAGACCAGAACUCAAGAACACCAAGAACACUCAAGAACCCUCAAGAACACUCAAGAACACCCAGAUUUUAUGAAAAACGAAAUCACACUCUCCCCUUUUUAGCAACCUGGCUCUGAUACCAUAUACACUUUUGUGUAUUAGAGCAUGAUUCAACCAAUCAGGGAUAAUCAGAUGAAAAGAUUAAAGAGAUUAAGAGAUUCUAGUGAGAGAAUAAAGAGAGAGAGACUCAAAACUCCAUUAAUUAAUAACUGAUGAGGUUUACAAGUAUUAAUAGAGAGAGCAACAAGGAAAUUCGAAAUGGUUAAGCAUGUGUAGUCAAAGGACAGGCUGGAACUCCUUUUGAAUCACUUGGCUGUGCUUUCUCACAUGCUUGCACUAGUAUAAAGGUAACUUCUCCUUUCCAGCAUCAUACAGGCUGUCAAAGUGAUCCCUUAUCCUUCCUUAACCUCACUUAUCCUCUUUGGUCGAGUUUCCUCUCUUCUCUUCACUAAGUUACCUUCUCAUCCCAUCAGAUAACUUCCCCAAGUAGUUACUGUGGUUAAAAUAAAGUUACCACAGUAAAACUCUAAAGUUACUGUCUCAGCCUCCUUGGUCUUCAUCUCAAUACUCCCCCUCAAGCUUGACCAUGUAGAACAAGUCAAGCUUGGAAACCAUGAAGACCUCCCUCGUUAAAAACCUCACCAAGUAAAACCCAUUGGGAUAAAACCUUGAUGAGGGAAAAAGAGUGGAGACUCCAUGGUUAAGGGGCUCAGCUCCUAGGAGUCAGAUCAAUGAGUCCAAGCCUUGACAGUAUGGACUCCAUUGUCUUCAAUCUCGCUGCCUUAGUAAACACAUCUGCAAGCUGAUCUUCACUUCUUGUAUAACAUGGCAGAAUCACUCCUAAGAUGAUCAUCUGCCUCACCUUAUGACAAUCCACCUCUAUGUGCUUUGUUCUCUCAUGAAACACUGAAUUGGAGGCAAUGUGGAUAGCUGCUUGAUUGUCACAAUGCAUUGUCAUAGGUGUGGCCUGCUCGAUCUCCAAGUGCUUCAAGAUCCCCUUGAUCCACACCAACUCAUUUGUAAGCUUCAACAUAGCUCUAUACUCAGCUUCAGCACUUGAACAGGAGAUGACCUUCUGCUUCUUACUCUUCCAAGUAACCAGAUUCCCUCCAAUGAAUGUACAAUACCCAGUAGUUGAUCUCCUGUCCACUCUAUCUCCUGCCCAAUCAGCAUCACAAUACCCAACCACUUCUGUACUGCCAUUGCAACCCAUCCAAACUCCUUGUCCAUGUGAGCCACUCAAAUACCUCAGUAUCCUAUCAACCAUCUUCCAGUGAUGUACCUUUGGCGCCUGCAUAUGUUGGCUCACUUGAUUCACAGCAAAGCAUAUAUCAGGUCUGGUGAUAGUCAAGUAGAUCAGCUUACCCACCAUCCUCCUAUACAGCUUAGCAUCCUCAAACAACUGGUUCUCUUCAACCUCCCCCUCACGCAAGACUUUAUACCCUUCCUCAAGAGGUGUCUUAGCUAUCUUCCCUCCAAGCACAUCAGUCUCCUUCAGCAUAUCCAUAGUAUACUUCCUUUGAGACAUAAACAAACCCUCCUUAGAUCUGCAUAUCUCAAUCCCCAAAAAAUACUUCAUCUCUCCCAAGUCUUUAAUAUCAAACACAGACUUGAGAAACUCUUUGGUGGCUUUAAUCCCAGCCUUAUCACUCCCUGUGAUAAUCAAAUCAUCCACAUACACCAAAAUCACUAUGAUCCCUGAUGGUCCAACCAGUGUGAAGAGUGUAUGAUCUAGUUCAGACUUCCUGAACCCUCUCCCAUUGAGAGUUGUACUAAGCUUUCUGUACCAAGCUCUAGGAGACUGCUUCAGCCCAUAUAUAGCCUUCUUCAAUCUCAAAACAUUCCCUGGCUUUACUAGAUGCUCAAGACCAGGAGGUGGAUGCAUGUAUACUUCAUCUUCAAGUUCACCUUGCAAGAAAGCAUUCUUCACAUCCACUUGCCACAAAUCCCACUCCAAGUUUGUUGCAAUAGAUAACACAAUUCGAAUUGUGUGAAGCUUGGCCACUGGUGCAAAAGUAUCAAUGUAAUCUUCCCCAUAAGUCUGUGUAAAUCCUCUUGCAACCAGCCUAGUCUUGCGCCUAUCUAUCUCCCCAUUUGCAAGGUACUUGAUGGUGAAGAUCCAUCUGCUUGAAACUGCCUUCUUCCCUUUAGGUAACUCACUCUCAUACCAAGUAUCAUUCCUGAUCAUUGCAUCCCUUUCAUCUCCUACUGAAUCUCUCCAAACCUUGUGCUUCAUAGCUUCUUCAUAAGAUCUUGGUAUCUCAUUCUCAUCCAAGUUACACCUAACCACCAUGUGCUCUUCUGGAAACUCUGCAAAGGAACACACGGCUUGAGAGGGAUGCUCCACAGCCUGGGCAUUGUAGUACAGUCUCGUGUUUACCCAGUUGGAAGGAUCCCUCCUUAUCCUUGUGCUCCUCCGCAAGGUCUCAACCUGUUCUUCAGCCUGAACAUUCUCUUGUGCUUCCUCUCUUAAACCAGUAGGUUCUCCCUGCUCAUUUCCACCUGACUGAGCUUCACUCUCUACUUCCUGUGUCUCCUCCUGAUCAUGCUGACCUGAAUCCUCUUGGUUAUGCUCCUGCUCCCCUGAUUCAGAUCCAUUCCCCCUCUCAUGAUCAAGAGGGGUUGUUCCUCCAGCUUCUCCAGUUUGAUUAGAAGGUCCGGUUCUUCCUGGUUCCUGAUCUUGGGAUAAUCCUAUCCCUAGCCUCUCCAACAACACUCUCAAUGUUGUUGCCUUCUCUGAUGGAGCUCGGGACAGAUCCUCUAGGUCUUCCCAUUUCUUCUCCUCAUAAUACCCUUUAGACUCAACAAACUUCACUUCUCUAGAUACCAUAACCCUCCUAGUUAUUGGAUCAUAACAUUUGUAGCCUUUCUGAGUGAUUGAGUACCCAAUGAACAUAGCUUUAGUACUCUUUGCUUCUAGCUUGUUCCUUCUUUCUCCGGGAAUCAUCACAUAACAUAAGCACCCAAAGACUCUCAAAUGAUCAAUGUGUGGCUUGGCCUUGUUCAAUACUUCAAAGGGAGAUAGUUUCUUCAAGACACGGGUUGGCACUCUAUUGAUGAGAUAGCAAGCAGUCUGAACAGCAUCACUCCAAAACCUCUUAGGGACAUUCAUGUGGAACAUGAUUGAUCUCGCAACCUCCAUCAAAUGUCUGUUCUUCCUCUCAGCCACCCCAUUUUGUUGUGGUGUGUAAGGACAGCUAGUUUGUUGCACAAUCCCAUGCUUUGCAAGAUGACUCUUGAAAGCAUUGCUAGUGUAUUCUCCUCCAUUAUCAGACCUCAGAAUCCUCACAGUGGCAUUGUACUGAUUAGUAACAUAUGCUUGGAAGUUCAUGAAGGCUUCUAGGACUCUGUCUUUGGAGGGAAUCAUGGUGAUCCAUGUGUACUUGGACUUCUCAUCAAUGAAAGUCACAAAGUACUUAUGGCUGUCUCUAGACAUACAGGGAGCUGUCCACACGUCUGAAUGCACCAGAUCAAAGCAAUUCUCAUAUCUGGUUUCUGAUGUUGGGAAGACAGUCCUACAGUGCUUUCCAAGUAUACAAGCUUCACACUCCAAGUGAUUGAACGCCAUACUUGGUAGAAUCAGUUCAAUUGCCUUGGCAUGAGGAUGUCCCAGCCUUGCAUGCCAUGUGAGAUUAUCACACCUAUCCGUUGUGCUGCUUAAACACACAGACUCCACAGGACUAGGCGCCUCAGUUGUUUGGAGAUGAUAGAGCUGAUGCUUGCUGUCUCCUCUGCCAAUAACCCUUCCAGUCUUCAAAUCCUGGAACUCAACUUCAUUUGGUCUGAAAACCACUUGACAAUCCAGAUCAACUGUAGCCUUCUUAACUGAGAUUAGAUUGGAUGUAAACUGAGGUAGGUAGAAGGCAGUGGAGUUCUUCUCAAACAGCUUGAGGUUUCCCACUCCUUCUAUUGGGAUCCUGGUACCAUUGGCUAUCAUGACACUCCCUGUUGCUGCUUUAACCUCACUGAUUAGUCUCUUGUCACUGAUCAUGUGGUGUGUUGCUCCAGAGUCAAUGAUGAUGGGUUUAGAUGUGGAUGCUUUGGCAGGAGCACCCAGACUCCGGGUCGUAGCCAAAGCAUACACAUGCUUAACCAACUCAUCCCAUUCCUUCUUUGUCACACACUCAUCUGCCCUCUUGGUAUCCAUUCCUCUCAUAUCCGCACUGUCUCCUACUGUCUCUCCCAUGUAAGCUGAGUAUGAACACUCUCCUAUAACCAUCUGCUGAAGUACAUCCUUGAUUCUCUUCAAGAUUACACUCAUCCUGUCACUUAAGUGCUCAGACUCGCUAUCCUUUCUCCAUGCCCUUCUCUUCAUUAACCACUCCUUAGAAAGUUUUCUCAACCUUCCCCUCUUACAGCUUGUACCUCCCUUCCAUCUUUCUGGCUUCCUGUUCAUUUCCCUCACAUCACAAGUAUAUUUAACAAGCUCACAUACCUCUCCCAUAAGGAAGCUGAAGAUCACAUCUUGCUUCCUCCUUUCUUGACAACAUCUCGGAUUUGAUGUGUGUGUCUUCACCCCAUCUAGCUCCGACCAUACUUCUCUCAGCCUUCCCACAAGCUGAUAACACUCAUCCUUUCCUUGUCUCAAGCCGCGGAUCACCCCUCUGUCCUCAACGACUCUCACAAGCUUGGACUUGCCUAAAGUUGCUUCAAUCUCACUCUUUGUAGUGUCUCCUUGAACAACUUCAUUUCCCAGCUUCAGACCUCUUGUCUGACCUUCUUCAGUAGCCAUUUCCAUGAAAGGUUUCCCCUUUCCAUGACUACUCCAUAACCCACAGCUUUCCAAAGCUCUCUUUGCCCAUCUUGACCAAUCGCCAUCCCUCUCUUCUUCAAGCUCCAUGGUUGUACUAGAUCUGUGCUUCAUUUCCAUGUUGAGAUAGUUUGAAUCCAUCAGAAUAUCUCACACCACUCAGAUAAUAAAGACCAGAACUCAAGAACACCAAGAACACUCAAGAACCCUCAAGAACACUCAAGAACACCCAGAUUUUAUGAAAAACGAAAUCACACUCUCCCCUUUUUAGCAACCUGGCUCUGAUACCAUAUACACUUUUGUGUAUUAGAGCAUGAUUCAACCAAUCAGGGAUAAUCAGAUGAAAAGAUUAAAGAGAUUAAGAGAUUCUAGUGAGAGAAUAAAAAGAGAGAGACUCAAAACUCCAUUAAUUAAUAACUGAUGAGGUUUACAAGUAUUAAUAGAGAGAUCAACAAGGAAAUUCGAAAUGGAAGCAUGUGUAGUCAAAGGACAGGCUGGAACUCCUUUUGAAUCACUUGGCUGUGCUUUCUCACAUGCUUGCACUAGUAUAAAGGUAACUUCUCCUUUCCAGCAUCAUACAGGCUGUCAAAGUGAUCCCUUAUCCUUCCUUAACCUCACUUAUCCUCUUUGGUCGAGUUUCCUCUCUUCUCUUCACUAAGUUACCUUCUCAUCCCAUCAGAUAACUUCCCCAAGUAGUUACUGUGGUUAAAAUAAAGUUACCACAGUAAAACUCUAAAGUUACUGUCUCAGCCUCCUUGGUCUUCAUCUCAAUACUCCCCCUCAAGCUUGACCAUGUAGAACAAGUCAAGCUUGGAAACCAUGAAGACCUCCCUCGUUAAAAACCUCACCAAGUAAAACCCAUUGGGAUAAAACCUUGAUGAGGGAAAAAGAGUGGAGACUCCAUGGUUAAGGGGCUCAGCUCCUAGGAGUCAGAUCAAUGAGUCCAAGCCUUGACAGUAUGGACUCCAUUGUCUUCAAUCUCGCUGCCUUAGUAAACACAUCUGCAAGCUGAUCUUCACUUCUUGUAUAACAUGGCAGAAUCACUCCUAAGAUGAUCAUCUGCCUCACCUUAUGACAAUCCACCUCUAUGUGCUUUGUUCUCUCAUGAAACACUGAAUUGGAGGCAAUGUGGAUAGCUGCUUGAUUGUCACAAUGCAUUGUCAUAGGUGUGGCCUGCUCGAUCUCCAAGUGCUUCAAGAUCCCCUUGAUCCACACCAACUCAUUUGUAAGCUUCAACAUAGCUCUAUACUCAGCUUCAGCACUUGAACAGGAGAUGACCUUCUGCUUCUUACUCUUCCAAGUAACCAGAUUCCCUCCAAUGAAUGUACAAUACCCAGUAGUUGAUCUCCUGUCCACUCUAUCUCCUGCCCAAUCAGCAUCACAAUACCCAACCACUUCUGUACUGCCAUUGCAACCCAUCCAAACUCCUUGUCCAUGUGAGCCACUCAAAUACCUCAGUAUCCUAUCAACCAUCUUCCAGUGAUGUACCUUUGGCGCCUGCAUAUGUUGGCUCACUUGAUUCACAGCAAAGCAUAUAUCAGGUCUGGUGAUAGUCAAGUAGAUCAGCUUACCCACCAUCCUCCUAUACAGCUUAGCAUCCUCAAACAACUGGUUCUCUUCAACCUCCCCCUCACGCAAGACUUUAUACCCUUCCUCAAGAGGUGUCUUAGCUAUCUUCCCUCCAAGCACAUCAGUCUCCUUCAGCAUAUCCAUAGUAUACUUCCUUUGAGACAUAAACAAACCCUCCUUAGAUCUGCAUAUCUCAAUCCCCAAAAAAUACUUCAUCUCUCCCAAGUCUUUAAUAUCAAACACAGACUUGAGAAACUCUUUGGUGGCUUUAAUCCCAGCCUUAUCACUCCCUGUGAUAAUCAAAUCAUCCACAUACACCAAAAUCACUAUGAUCCCUGAUGGUCCAACCAGUGUGAAGAGUGUAUGAUCUAGUUCAGACUUCCUGAACCCUCUCCCAUUGAGAGUUGUACUAAGCUUUCUGUACCAAGCUCUAGGAGACUGCUUCAGCCCAUAUAUAGCCUUCUUCAAUCUCAAAACAUUCCCUGGCUUUACUAGAUGCUCAAGACCAGGAGGUGGAUGCAUGUAUACUUCAUCUUCAAGUUCACCUUGCAAGAAAGCAUUCUUCACAUCCACUUGCCACAAAUCCCACUCCAAGUUUGUUGCAAUAGAUAACACAAUUCGAAUUGUGUGAAGCUUGGCCACUGGUGCAAAAGUAUCAAUGUAAUCUUCCCCAUAAGUCUGUGUAAAUCCUCUUGCAACCAGCCUAGUCUUGCGCCUAUCUAUCUCCCCAUUUGCAAGGUACUUGAUGGUGAAGAUCCAUCUGCUUGAAACUGCCUUCUUCCCUUUAGGUAACUCACUCUCAUACCAAGUAUCAUUCCUGAUCAUUGCAUCCCUUUCAUCUCCUACUGAAUCUCUCCAAACCUUGUGCUUCAUAGCUUCUUCAUAAGAUCUUGGUAUCUCAUUCUCAUCCAAGUUACACAUAAACACCAUGUGCUCUUCUGGAAACUCUGCAAAGGAACACACGGCUUGAGAGGGAUGCUCCACAGCCUGGGCAUUGUAGUACACUCUCGUGUUUACCCAGUUGGAAGGAUCCCUCCUUAUCCUUGUGCUCCUCCGCAAGGUCUCAACCUGUUCUUCAGCCUGAACAUUCUCUUGUGCUUCCUCUCUUAAACCAGUAGGUUCUCCCUGCUCAUUUCCACCUGACUGAGCUUCACUCUCUACUUCCUGUGUCUCCUCCUGAUCAUGCUGACCUGAAUCCUCUUGGUUAUGCUCCUGCUCCCCUGAUUCAGAUCCAUUCCCCCUCUCAUGAUCAAGAGGGGUUGUUCCUCCAGCUUCUCCAGUUUGAUUAGAAGGUCCGGUUCUUCCUGGUUCCUGAUCUUGGGAUAAUCCUAUCCCUAGCCUCUCCAACAACACUCUCAAUGUUGUUGCCUUCUCUGAUGGAGCUCGGGACAGAUCCUCUAGGUCUUCCCAUUUCUUCUCCUCAUAAUACCCUUUAGACUCAACAAACUUCACUUCUCUAGAUACCAUAACCCUCCUAGUUAUUGGAUCAUAACAUUUGUAGCCUUUCUGAGUGAUUGAGUACCCAAUGAACAUAGCUUUAGUACUCUUUGCUUCUAGCUUGUUCCUUCUUUCUCCGGGAAUCAUCACAUAACAUAAGCACCCAAAGACUCUCAAAUGAUCAAUGUGUGGCUUGGCCUUGUUCAAUACUUCAAAGGGAGAUAGUUUCUUCAAGACACGGGUUGGCACUCUAUUGAUGAGAUAGCAAGCAGUCUGAACAGCAUCACUCCAAAACCUCUUAGGGACAUUCAUGUGGAACAUGAUUGAUCUCGCAACCUCCAUCAAAUGUCUGUUCUUCCUCUCAGCCACCCCAUUUUGUUGUGGUGUGUAAGGACAGCUAGUUUGUUGCACAAUCCCAUGCUUUGCAAGAUGACUCUUGAAAGCAUUGCUAGUGUAUUCUCCUCCAUUAUCAGACCUCAGAAUCCUCACAGUGGCAUUGUACUGAUUAGUAACAUAUGCUUGGAAGUUCAUGAAGGCUUCUAGGACUCUGUCUUUGGAGGGAAUCAUGGUGAUCCAUGUGUACUUGGACUUCUCAUCAAUGAAAGUCACAAAGUACUUAUGGCUGUCUCUAGACAUACAGGGAGCUGUCCACACGUCUGAAUGCACCAGAUCAAAGCAAUUCUCAUAUCUGGUUUCUGAUGUUGGGAAGACAGUCCUACAGUGCUUUCCAAGUAUACAAGCUUCACACUCCAAGUGAUUGAACGCCAUACUUGGUAGAAUCAGUUCAAUUGCCUUGGCAUGAGGAUGUCCCAGCCUUGCAUGCCAUGUGAGAUUAUCACACCUAUCCGUUGUGCUGCUUAAACACACAGACUCCACAGGACUAGGCGCCUCAGUUGUUUGGAGAUGAUAGAGCUGAUGCUUGCUGUCUCCUCUGCCAAUAACCCUUCCAGUCUUCAAAUCCUGGAACUCAACUUCAUUUGGUCUGAAAACCACUUGACAAUCCAGAUCAACUGUAGCCUUCUUAACUGAGAUUAGAUUGGAUGUAAACUGAGGUAGGUAGAAGGCAGUGGAGUUCUUCUCAAACAGCUUGAGGUUUCCCACUCCUUCUAUUGGGAUCCUGGUACCAUUGGCUAUCAUGACACUCCCUGUUGCUGCUUUAACCUCACUGAUUAGUCUCUUGUCACUGAUCAUGUGGUGUGUUGCUCCAGAGUCAAUGAUGAUGGGUUUAGAUGUGGAUGCUUUGGCAGGAGCACCCAGACUCCGGGUCGUAGCCAAAGCAUACACAUGCUUAACCAACUCAUCCCAUUCCUUCUUUGUCACACACUCAUCUGCCCUCUUGGUAUCCAUUCCUCUCAUAUCCGCACUGUCUCCUACUGUCUCUCCCAUGUAAGCUGAGUAUGAACACUCUCCUAUAACCAUCUGCUGAAGUACAUCCUUGAUUCUCUUCAAGAUUACACUCAUCCUGUCACUUAAGUGCUCAGACUCGCUAUCCUUUCUCCAUGCCCUUCUCUUCAUUAACCACUCCUUAGAAAGUUUUCUCAACCUUCCCCUCUUACAGCUUGUACCUCCCUUCCAUCUUUCUGGCUUCCUGUUCAUUUCCCACACAUCACAAGUAUAUUUAACAAGCUCACAUACCUCUUCCAUAAGGAAGCUGAAGAUCACAUCUUGCUUCCUCCUUUCUUGACAACAUCUCGGAUUUGAUGUGUGUGUCUUCACCCCAUCUAGCUCCGACCAUACUUCUCUCAGCCUUCCCACAAGCUGAUAACACUCAUCCUUUCCUUGUCUCAAGCCGCGGAUCACCCCUCUGUCCUCAACGACUCUCACAAGCUUGGACUUGCCUAAAGUUGCUUCAAUCUCACUCUUUGUAGUGUCUCCUUGAACAACUUCAUUUCCCAGCUUCAGACCUCUUGUCUGACCUUCUUCAGUAGCCAUUUCCAUGAAAGGUUUCCCCUUUCCAUGACUACUCCAUAACCCACAGCUUUCCAAAGCUCUCUUUGCCCAUCUUGACCAAUCGCCAUCCCUCUCUUCUUCAAGCUCCAUGGUUGUACUAGAUCUGUGCUUCAUUUCCAUGUUGAGAUAGUUUGAAUCCAUCAGAAUAUCUCACACCACUCAGAUAAUAAAGACCAGAACUCAAGAACACCAAGAACACUCAAGAACCCUCAAGAACACUCAAGAACACCCAGAUUUUAUGAAAAACGAAAUCACACUCUCCCCUUUUUAGCAACCUGGCUCUGAUACCAUAUACACUUUUGUGUAUUAGAGCAUGAUUCAACCAAUCAGGGAUAAUCAGAUGAAAAGAUUAAAGAGAUUAAGAGAUUCUAGUGAGAGAAUAAAGAGAGAGAGACUCAAAACUCCAUUAAUUAAUAACUGAUGAGGUUUACAAGUAUUAAUAGAGAGAGCAACAAGGAAAUUCGAAAUGGUUAAGCAUGUGUAGUCAAAGGACAGGCUGGAACUCCUUUUGAAUCACUUGGCUGUGCUUUCUCACAUGCUUGCACUAGUAUAAAGGUAACUUCUCCUUUCCAGCAUCAUACAGGCUGUCAAAGUGAUCCCUUAUCCUUCCUUAACCUCACUUAUCCUCUUUGGUCGAGUUUCCUCUCUUCUCUUCACUAAGUUACCUUCUCAUCCCAUCAGAUAACUUCCCCAAGUAGUUACUGUGGUUAAAAUAAAGUUACCACAGUAAAACUCUAAAGUUACUGUCUCAGCCUCCUUGGUCUUCAUCUCAAUACUCCCCCUCAAGCUUGACCAUGUAGAACAAGUCAAGCUUGGAAACCAUGAAGACCUCCCUCGUUAAAAACCUCACCAAGUAAAACCCAUUGGGAUAAAACCUUGAUGAGGGAAAAAGAGUGGAGACUCCAUGGUUAAGGGGCUCAGCUCCUAGGAGUCAGAUCAAUGAGUCCAAGCCUUGACAGUAUGGACUCCAUUGUCUUCAAUCUCGCUGCCUUAGUAAACACAUCUGCAAGCUGAUCUUCACUUCUUGUAUAACAUGGCAGAAUCACUCCUAAGAUGAUCAUCUGCCUCACCUUAUGACAAUCCACCUCUAUGUGCUUUGUUCUCUCAUGAAACACUGAAUUGGAGGCAAUGUGGAUAGCUGCUUGAUUGUCACAAUGCAUUGUCAUAGGUGUGGCCUGCUCGAUCUCCAAGUGCUUCAAGAUCCCCUUGAUCCACACCAACUCAUUUGUAAGCUUCAACAUAGCUCUAUACUCAGCUUCAGCACUUGAACAGGAGAUGACCUUCUGCUUCUUACUCUUCCAAGUAACCAGAUUCCCUCCAAUGAAUGUACAAUACCCAGUAGUUGAUCUCCUGUCCACUCUAUCUCCUGCCCAAUCAGCAUCACAAUACCCAACCACUUCUGUACUGCCAUUGCAACCCAUCCAAACUCCUUGUCCAUGUGAGCCACUCAAAUACCUCAGUAUCCUAUCAACCAUCUUCCAGUGAUGUACCUUUGGCGCCUGCAUAUGUUGGCUCACUUGAUUCACAGCAAAGCAUAUAUCAGGUCUGGUGAUAGUCAAGUAGAUCAGCUUACCCACCAUCCUCCUAUACAGCUUAGCAUCCUCAAACAACUGGUUCUCUUCAACCUCCCCCUCACGCAAGACCUUAUACCCUUCCUCAAGAGGUGUCUUAGCUAUCUUCCCUCCAAGCACAUCAGUCUCCUUCAGCAUAUCCAUAGUAUACUUCCUUUGAGACAUAAACAAACCCUCCUUAGAUCUGCAUAUCUCAAUCCCCAAAAAAUACUUCAUCUCUCCCAAGUCUUUAAUAUCAAACACAGACUUGAGAAACUCUUUGGUGGCUUUAAUCCCAGCCUUAUCACUCCCUGUGAUAAUCAAAUCAUCCACAUACACUAAAAUCACUAUGAUCCCUGAUGGUCCAACCAGUGUGAAGAGUGUAUGAUCUAGUUCAGACUUCCUGAACCCUCUCCCAUUGAGAGUUGUACUAAGCUUUCUGUACCAAGCUCUAGGAGACUGCUUCAGCCCAUAUAUAGCCUUCUUCAAUCUCAAAACAUUCCCUGGCUUUACUAGAUGCUCAAGACCAGGAGGUGGAUGCAUGUAUACUUCAUCUUCAAGUUCACCUUGCAAGAAAGCAUUCUUCACAUCCAUUUGCCACAAAUCCCACUCCAAGUUUGUUGCAAUAGAUAACACAAUUCGAAUUGUGUGAAGCUUGGCCACUGGUGCAAAAGUAUCAAUGUAAUCUUCCCCAUAAGUCUGUGUAAAUCCUCUUGCAACCAGCCUAGUCUUGCGCCUAUCUAUCUCCCCAUUUGCAAGGUACUUGAUGGUGAAGAUCCAUCUGCUUGAAACUGCCUUCUUCCCUUUAGGUAACUCACUCUCAUACCAAGUAUCAUUCCUGAUCAUUGCAUCCCUUUCAUCUCCUACUGAAUCUCUCCAAACCUUGUGCUUCAUAGCUUCUUCAUAAGAUCUUGGUAUCUCAUUCUCAUCCAAGUUACACAUAAACACCAUGUGCUCUUCUGGAAACUCUGCAAAGGAACACACGGCUUGAGAGGGAUGCUCCACAGCCUGGGCAUUGUAGUACACUCUCGUGUUUACCCAGUUGGAAGGAUCCCUCCUUAUCCUUGUGCUCCUCCGCAAGGUCUCAACCUGUUCUUCAGCCUGAACAUUCUCUUGUGCUUCCUCUCUUAAACCAGUAGGUUCUCCCUGCUCAUUUCCACCUGACUGAGCUUCACUCUCUACUUCCUGUGUCUCCUCCUGAUCAUGCUGACCUGAAUCCUCUUGGUUAUGCUCCUGCUCCCCUGAUUCAGAUCCAUUCCCCCUCUCAUGAUCAAGAGGGGUUGUUCCUCCAGCUUCUCCAGUUUGAUUAGAAGGUCCGGUUCUUCCUGGUUCCUGAUCUUGGGAUAAUCCUAUCCCUAGCCUCUCCAACAACACUCUCAAUGUUGUUGCCUUCUCUGAUGGAGCUCGGGACAGAUCCUCUAGGUCUUCCCAUUUCUUCUCCUCAUAAUACCCUUUAGACUCAACAAACUUCACUUCUCUAGAUACCAUAACCCUCCUAGUUAUUGGAUCAUAACAUUUGUAGCCUUUCUGAGUGAUUGAGUACCCAAUGAACAUAGCUUUAGUACUCUUUGCUUCUAGCUUGUUCCUUCUUUCUCCGGGAAUCAUCACAUAACAUAAGCACCCAAAGACUCUCAAAUGAUCAAUGUGUGGCUUGGCCUUGUUCAAUACUUCAAAGGGAGACAGUUUCUUCAAGACACGGGUUGGCACUCUAUUGAUGAGAUAGCAAGCAGUCUGAACAGCAUCACUCCAAAACCUCUUAGGAACAUUCAUGUGGAACAUGAUUGAUCUCGCAACCUCCAUCAAAUGUCUGUUCUUCCUCUCAGCCACCCCAUUUUGUUGUGGUGUGUAAGGACAGCUAGUUUGUUGCACAAUCCCAUGCUUUGCAAGAUGACUCUUGAAAGCAUUGCUAGUGUAUUCUCCUCCAUUAUCAGACCUCAGAAUCCUCACAGUGGCAUUGUACUGAUUAGUAACAUAUGCUUGGAAGUUCAUGAAGGCGUCUAGGACUCUGUCUUUGGAGGGAAUCAUGGUGAUCCAUGUGUACUUGGACUUCUCAUCAAUGAAAGUCACAAAGUACUUAUGGCUGUCUCUAGACAUACAGGGAGCUGUCCACACGUCUGAAUGUACCAGAUCAAAGCAAUUCUCAUAUCUGGUUUCUGAUGUUGGGAAGACAGUCCUACAGUGCUUUCCAAGUAUACAAGCUUCACACUCCAAGUGAUUGAACGCCAUACUUGGUAGAAUCAGUUCAAUUGCCUUGGCAUGAGGAUGUCCCAGCCUUGCAUGCCAUGUGAGAUUAUCACACCUAUCCGUUGUGCUGCUUAAACACACAGACUCCACAGGACUAGGCGCCUCAGUUGUUUGGAGAUGAUAGAGCUGAUGCUUGCUGUCUCCUCUGCCAAUAACCCUUCCAGUCUUCAAAUCCUGGAACUCAACUUCAUUUGGUCUGAAAACCACUUGACAAUCCAGAUCAACUGUAGCCUUCUUAACUGAGAUUAGAUUGGAUGUAAACUGAGGUAGGUAGAAGGCAGUGGAGUUCUUCUCAAACAGCUUGAGGUUUCCCACUCCUUCUAUUGGGAUCCUGGUACCAUUGGCUAUCAUGACACUCCCUGUUGCUGCUUUAACCUCACUGAUUAGUCUCUUGUCACUGAUCAUGUGGUGUGUUGCUCCAGAGUCAAUGAUGAUGGGUUUAGAUGUGGAUGCUUUGGCAGGAGCACCCAGACUCCGGGUCGUAGCCAAAGCAUACACAUGCUUAACCAACUCAUCCCAUUCCUUCUUUGUCACACACUCAUCUGCCCUCUUGGUAUCCAUUCCUCUCAUAUCCGCACUGUCUCCUACUGUCUCUCCCAUGUAAGCUGAGUAUGAACACUCUCCUAUAACCAUCUGCUGAAGUACAUCCUUGAUUCUCUUCAAGAUUACACUCAUCCUGUCACUUAAGUGCUCAGACUCGCUAUCCUUUCUCCAUGCCCUUCUCUUCAUUAACCACUCCUUAGAAAGUUUUCUCAACCUUCCCCUCUUACAGCUUGUACCUCCCUUCCAUCUUUCUGGCUUCCUGUUCAUUUCCCACACAUCACAAGUAUAUUUAACAAGCUCACAUACCUCUUCCAUAAGGAAGCUGAAGAUCACAUCUUGCUUCCUCCUUCCUUGACAACAUCUCGGAUUUGAUGUGUGUGUCUUCACCACAUCUAGCUCCGACCAUACUUCUCUCAGCCUUCCCACAAGCUGAUAACACUCAUCCUCUCCUUGUCUCAAGCCGCGGAUCACCCCUCUGUCCUCAACGACUCUCACAAGCUUGGACUUGCCUAAAGUUGCUUCAAUCUCACUCUUUGUAGUGUCUCCUUGAACAACUUCAUUUCCCAGCUUCAGACCUCUUGUCUGACCUUCUUCAGUAGCCAUUUCCAUGAAAGGUUUCCCCUUUCCAUGACUACUCCAUAACCCACAGCUUUCCACAGCUCUCUUUGCCCAUCUUGACCAAUCGCCAUCCCUCUCUUCUUCAAGCUCCAUGGUUGUACUAGAUCUGUGCUUCAUUUCCAUGUUGAGAUAGUUUGAAUCCAUCAGAAUAUCUCACACCACUCAGAUAAUAAAGACCAGAACUCAAGAACACCAAGAACACUCAAGAACCCUCAAGAACACUCAAGAACACCCAGAUUUUAUGAAAAACGAAAUCACACUCUCCCCUUUUUAGCAACCUGGCUCUGAUACCAAUUGGUGUAGUGCCUCUUACUUCUUGCUUAUACACUUUUGUGUAUUAGAGCAUGAUUCAACCAAUCAGGGAUAAUCAGAUGAAAAGAUUAAAGAGAUUAAGAGAUUCUAGUGAGAGAAUAAAGAGAGAGAGACUCAAAACUCCAUUAAUUAAUAACUGAUGAGGUUUACAAGUAUUAAUAGAGAGAGCAACAAGGAAAUUCGAAAUGGUUAAGCAUGUGUAGUCAAAGGACAGGCUGGAACUCCUUUUGAAUCACUUGGCUGUGCUUUCUCACAUGCUUGCACUAGUAUAAAGGUAACUUCUCCUUUCCAGCAUCAUACAGGCUGUCAAAGUGAUCCCUUAUCCUUCCUUAACCUCACUUAUCUUCUUUGGUCGAGUUUCCUCUCUUCUCUUCACUAAGUUACCUUCUCAUCCCAUCAGAUAACUUCCCCAAGUAGUUACUGUGGUUAAAAUAAAGUUACCACAGUAAAACUCUAAAGUUACUGUCUCAGCCUCCUUGGUCUUCAUCUCAAUACUCCCCCUCAAGCUUGACCAUGUAGAACAAGUCAAGCUUGGAAACCAUGAAGACCUCCCUCGUUAAAAACCUCACCAAGUAAAACCCAUUGGGAUAAAACCUUGAUGAGGGAAAAAGAGUGGAGACUCCAUGGUUAAGGGGCUCAGCUCCUAGGAGUCAGAUCAAUGAGUCCAAGCCUUGACAGUAUGGACUCCAUUGUCUUCAAUCUCGCUGCCUUAGUAAACACAUCUGCAAGCUGAUCUUCACUUCUUGUAUAACAUGGCAGAAUCACUCCUAAGAUGAUCAUCUGCCUCACCUUAUGACAAUCCACCUCUAUGUGCUUUGUUCUCUCAUGAAACACUGAAUUGGAGGCAAUGUGGAUAGCUGCUUGAUUGUCACAAUGCAUUGUCAUAGGUGUGGCCUGCUCGAUCUCCAAGUGCUUCAAGAUCCCCUUGAUCCACACCAACUCAUUUGUAAGCUUCAACAUAGCUCUAUACUCAGCUUCAGCACUUGAACAGGAGAUGACCUUCUGCUUCUUACUCUUCCAAGUAACCAGAUUCCCUCCAAUGAAUGUACAAUACCCAGUAGUUGAUCUCCUGUCCACUCUAUCUCCUGCCCAAUCAGCAUCACAAUACCCAACCACUUCUGUACUGCCAUUGCAACCCAUCCAAACUCCUUGUCCAUGUGAGCCACUCAAAUACCUCAGUAUCCUAUCAACCAUCUUCCAGUGAUGUACCUUUGGCGCCUGCAUAUGUUGGCUCACUUGAUUCACAGCAAAGCAUAUAUCAGGUCUGGUGAUAGUCAAGUAGAUCAGCUUACCCACCAUCCUCCUAUACAGCUUAGCAUCCUCAAACAACUGGUUCUCUUCAACCUCCCCCUCACGCAAGACCUUAUACCCUUCCUCAAGAGGUGUCUUAGCUAUCUUCCCUCCAAGCACAUCAGUCUCCUUCAGCAUAUCCAUAGUAUACUUCCUUUGAGACAUAAACAAACCCUCCUUAGAUCUGCAUAUCUCAAUCCCCAAAAAAUACUUCAUCUCUCCCAAGUCUUUAAUAUCAAACACAGACUUGAGAAACUCUUUGGUGGCUUUAAUCCCAGCCUUAUCACUCCCUGUGAUAAUCAAAUCAUCCACAUACACCAAAAUCACUAUGAUCCCUGAUGGUCCAACCAGUGUGAAGAGUGUAUGAUCUAGUUCAGACUUCCUGAACCCUCUCCCAUUGAGAGUUGUACUAAGCUUUCUGUACCAAGCUCUAGGAGACUGCUUCAGCCCAUAUAUAGCCUUCUUCAAUCUCAAAACAUUCCCUGGCUUUACUAGAUGCUCAAGACCAGGAGGUGGAUGCAUGUAUACUUCAUCUUCAAGUUCACCUUGCAAGAAGGCAUUCUUCACAUCCAUUUGCCACAAAUCCCACUCCAAGUUUGUUGCAAUAGAUAACACAAUUCGAAUUGUGUGAAGCUUGGCCACUGGUGCAAAAGUAUCAAUGUAAUCUUCCCCAUAAGUCUGUGUAAAUCCUCUUGCAACCAGCCUAGUCUUGCGCCUAUCUAUCUCCCCAUUUGCAAGGUACUUGAUGGUGAAGAUCCAUCUGCUUGAAACUGCCUUCUUCCCUUUAGGUAACUCACUCUCAUACCAAGUAUCAUUCCUGAUCAUUGCAUCCCUUUCAUCUCCUACUGAAUCUCUCCAAACCUUGUGCUUCAUAGCUUCUUCAUAAGAUCUUGGUAUCUCAUUCUCAUCCAAGUUACACAUAAACACCAUGUGCUCUUCUGGAAACUCUGCAAAGGAACACACGGCUUGAGAGGGAUGCUCCACAGCCUGGGCAUUGUAGUACACUCUCGUGUUUACCCAGUUGGAAGGAUCCCUCCUUAUCCUUGUGCUCCUCCGCAAGGUCUCAACCUGUUCUUCAGCCUGAACAUUCUCUUGUGCUUCCUCUCUUAAACCAGUAGGUUCUCCCUGCUCAUUUCCACCUGACUGAGCUUCACUCUCUACUUCCUGUGUCUCCUCCUGAUCAUGCUGACCUGAAUCCUCUUGGUUAUGCUCCUGCUCCCCUGAUUCAGAUCCAUUCCCCCUCUCAUGAUCAAGAGGGGUUGUUCCUCCAGCUUCUCCAGUUUGAUUAGAAGGUCCGGUUCUUCCUGGUUCCUGAUCUUGGGAUAAUCCUAUCCCUAGCCUCUCCAACAACACUCUCAAUGUUGUUGCCUUCUCUGAUGGAGCUCGGGACAGAUCCUCUAGGUCUUCCCAUUUCUUCUCCUCAUAAUACCCUUUAGACUCAACAAACUUCACUUCUCUAGAUACCAUAACCCUCCUAGUUAUUGGAUCAUAACAUUUGUAGCCUUUCUGAGUGAUUGAGUACCCAAUGAACAUGGCUUUAGUACUCUUUGCUUCUAGCUUGUUCCUUCUUUCUCCGGGAAUCAUCACAUAACAUAAGCACCCAAAGACUCUCAAAUGAUCAAUGUGUGGCUUGGCCUUGUUCAAUACUUCAAAGGGAGACAGUUUCUUCAAGACACGGGUUGGCACUCUAUUGAUGAGAUAGCAAGCAGUCUGAACAGCAUCACUCCAAAACCUCUUAGGGACAUUCAUGUGGAACAUGAUUGAUCUCGCAACCUCCAUCAAAUGUCUGUUCUUCCUCUCAGCCACCCCAUUUUGUUGUGGUGUGUAAGGACAGCUAGUUUGUUGCACAAUCCCAUGCUUUGCAAGAUGACUCUUGAAAGCAUUGCUAGUGUAUUCUCCUCCAUUAUCAGACCUCAGAAUCCUCACAGUGGCAUUGUACUGAUUAGUAACAUAUGCUUGGAAGUUCAUGAAGGCUUCUAGGACUCUGUCUUUGGAGGGAAUCAUGGUGAUCCAUGUGUACUUGGACUUCUCAUCAAUGAAAGUCACAAAGUACUUAUGGCUGUCUCAAGACAUACAGGGAGCUGUCCACACGUCUGAAUGCACCAGAUCAAAGCAAUUCUCAUAUCUGGUUUCUGAUGUUGGGAAGACAGUCCUACAGUGCUUUCCAAGUAUACAAGCUUCACACUCCAAGUGAUUGAACGCCAUACUUGGUAGAAUCAGUUCAAUUGCCUUGGCAUGAGGAUGUCCCAGCCUUGCAUGCCAUGUGAGAUUAUCACACCUAUCCGUUGUGCUGCUUAAACACACAGACUCCACAGGACUAGGCGCCUCAGUUGUUUGGAGAUGAUAGAGCUGAUGCUUGCUGUCUCCUCUGCCAAUAACCCUUCCAGUCUUCAAAUCCUGGAACUCAACUUCAUUUGGUCUGAAAACCACUUGACAAUCCAGAUCAACUGUAGCCUUCUUAACUGAGAUUAGAUUGGAUGUAAACUGAGGUAGGUAGAAGGCAGUGGAGUUCUUCUCAAACAGCUUGAGGUUUCCCACUCCUUCUAUUGGGAUCCUGGUACCAUUGGCUAUCAUGACACUCCCUGUUGCUGCUUUAACCUCACUGAUUAGUCUCUUGUCACUGAUCAUGUGGUGUGUUGCUCCAGAGUCAAUGAUGAUGGGUUUAGAUGUGGAUGCUUUGGCAGGAGCACCCAGACUCCGGGUCGUAGCCAAAGCAUACACAUGCUUAACCAACUCAUCCCAUUCCUUCUUUGUCACACACUCAUCUGCCCUCUUGGUAUCCAUUCCUCUCAUAUCCGCACUGUCUCCUACUGUCUCUCCCAUGUAAGCUGAGUAUGAACACUCUCCUAUAACCAUCUGCUGAAGUACAUCCUUGAUUCUCUUCAAGAUUACACUCAUCCUGUCACUUAAGUGCUCAGACUCGCCAUCCUUUCUCCAUGCCCUUCUCUUCAUUAACCACUCCUUAGAAAGUUUUCUCAACCUUCCCCUCUUACAGCUUGUACCUCCCUUCCAUCUUUCUGGCUUCCUGUUCAUUUCCCACACAUCACAAGUAUAUUUAACAAGCUCACAUACCUCUUCCAUAAGGAAGCUGAAGAUCACAUCUUGCUUCCUCCUUUCUUGACAACAUCUCGGAUUUGAUGUGUGUGUCUUCACCACAUCUAGCUCCGACCAUACUUCUCUCAGCCUUCCCACAAGCUGAUAACACUCAUCCUCUCCUUGUCUCAAGCCGCGGAUCACCCCUCUGUCCUCAACGACUCUCACAAGCUUGGACUUGCCUAAAGUUGCUUCAAUCUCACUCUUUGUAGUGUCUCCUUGAACAACUUCAUUUCCCAGCUUCAGACCUCUUGUCUGACCUUCUUCAGUAGCCAUUUCCAUGAAAGGUUUCCCCUUUCCAUGACUACUCCAUAACCCACAGCUUUCCAAAGCUCUCUUUGCCCAUCUUGACCAAUCGCCAUCCCUCUCUUCUUCAAGCUCCAUGGUUGUACUAGAUCUGUGCUUCAUUUCCAUGUUGAGAUAGUUUGAAUCCAUCAGAAUAUCUCACACCACUCAGAUAAUAAAGACCAGAACUCAAGAACACCAAGAACACUCAAGAACCCUCAAGAACACUCAAGAACACCCAGAUUUUAUGAAAAACGAAAUCACACUCUCCCCUUUUUAGCAACCUGGCUCUGAUACCAUAUACACUUUUGUGUAUUAGAGCAUGAUUCAACCAAUCAGGGAUAAUCAGAUGAAAAGAUUAAAGAGAUUAAGAGAUUCUAGUGAGAGAAUAAAGAGAGAGAGACUCAAAACUCCAUUAAUUAAUAACUGAUGAGGUUUACAAGUAUUAAUAGAGAGAGCAACAAGGAAAUUCGAAAUGGUUAAGCAUGUGUAGUCAAAGGACAGGCUGGAACUCCUUUUGAAUCACUUGGCUGUGCUUUCUCACAUGCUUGCACUAGUAUAAAGGUAACUUCUCCUUUCCAGCAUCAUACAGGCUGUCAAAGUGAUCCCUUAUCCUUCCUUAACCUCACUUAUCUUCUUUGGUCGAGUUUCCUCUCUUCUCUUCACUAAGUUACCUUCUCAUCCCAUCAGAUAACUUCCCCAAGUAGUUACUGUGGUUAAAAUAAAGUUACCACAGUAAAACUCUAAAGUUACUGUCUCAGCCUCCUUGGUCUUCAUCUCAAUACUCCCCCUCAAGCUUGACCAUGUAGAACAAGUCAAGCUUGGAAACCAUGAAGACCUCCCUCGUUAAAAACCUCACCAAGUAAAACCCAUUGGGAUAAAACCUUGAUGAGGGAAAAAGAGUGGAGACUCCAUGGUUAAGGGGCUCAGCUCCUAGGAGUCAGAUCAAUGAGUCCAAGCCUUGACAGUAUGGACUCCAUUGUCUUCAAUCUCGCUGCCUUAGUAAACACAUCUGCAAGCUGAUCUUCACUUCUUGUAUAACAUGGCAGAAUCACUCCUAAGAUGAUCAUCUGCCUCACCUUAUGACAAUCCACCUCUAUGUGCUUUGUUCUCUCAUGAAACACUGAAUUGGAGGCAAUGUGGAUAGCUGCUUGAUUGUCACAAUGCAUUGUCAUAGGUGUGGCCUGCUCGAUCUCCAAGUGCUUCAAGAUCCCCUUGAUCCACACCAACUCAUUUGUAAGCUUCAACAUAGCUCUAUACUCAGCUUCAGCACUUGAACAGGAGAUGACCUUCUGCUUCUUACUCUUCCAAGUAACCAGAUUCCCUCCAAUGAAUGUACAAUACCCAGUAGUUGAUCUCCUGUCCACUCUAUCUCCUGCCCAAUCAGCAUCACAAUACCCAACCACUUCUGUACUGCCAUUGCAACCCAUCCAAACUCCUUGUCCAUGUGAGCCACUCAAAUACCUCAGUAUCCUAUCAACCAUCUUCCAGUGAUGUACCUUUGGCGCCUGCAUAUGUUGGCUCACUUGAUUCACAGCAAAGCAUAUAUCAGGUCUGGUGAUAGUCAAGUAGAUCAGCUUACCCACCAUCCUCCUAUACAGCUUAGCAUCCUCAAACAACUGGUUCUCUUCAACCUCCCCCUCACGCAAGACCUUAUACCCUUCCUCAAGAGGUGUCUUAGCUAUCUUCCCUCCAAGCACAUCAGUCUCCUUCAGCAUAUCCAUAGUAUACUUCCUUUGAGACAUAAACAAACCCUCCUUAGAUCUGCAUAUCUCAAUCCCCAAAAAAUACUUCAUCUCUCCCAAGUCUUUAAUAUCAAACACAGACUUGAGAAACUCUUUGGUGGCUUUAAUCCCAGCCUUAUCACUCCCUGUGAUAAUCAAAUCAUCCACAUACACUAAAAUCACUAUGAUCCCUGAUGGUCCAACCAGUGUGAAGAGUGUAUGAUCUAGUUCAGACUUCCUGAACCCUCUCCCAUUGAGAGUUGUACUAAGCUUUCUGUACCAAGCUCUAGGAGACUGCUUCAGCCCAUAUAUAGCCUUCUUCAAUCUCAAAACAUUCCCUGGCUUUACUAGAUGCUCAAGACCAGGAGGUGGAUGCAUGUAUACUUCAUCUUCAAGUUCACCUUGCAAGAAAGCAUUCUUCACAUCCAUUUGCCACAAAUCCCACUCCAAGUUUGUUGCAAUAGAUAACACAAUUCGAAUUGUGUGAAGCUUGGCCACUGGUGCAAAAGUAUCAAUGUAAUCUUCCCCAUAAGUCUGUGUAAAUCCUCUUGCAACCAGCCUAGUCUUGCGCCUAUCUAUCUCCCCAUUUGCAAGGUACUUGAUGGUGAAGAUCCAUCUGCUUGAAACUGCCUUCUUCCCUUUAGGUAACUCACUCUCAUACCAAGUAUCAUUCCUGAUCAUUGCAUCCCUUUCAUCUCCUACUGAAUCUCUCCAAACCUUGUGCUUCAUAGCUUCUUCAUAAGAUCUUGGUAUCUCAUUCUCAUCCAAGUUACACAUAAACACCAUGUGCUCUUCUGGAAACUCAGCAAAGGAACACAUGGCUUGAGAGGGAUGCUCCACAGCCUGGGCAUUGUAGUACACUCUCGUGUUUACCCAGUUGGAAGGAUCCCUCCUUAUCCUUGUGCUCCUCCGCAAGGUCUCAACCUGUUCUUCAGCCUGAACAUUCUCUUGUGCUUCCUCUCUUAAACCAGUAGGUUCUCCCUGCUCAUUUCCACCUGACUGAGCUUCACUCUCUACUUCCUGUGUCUCCUCCUGAUCAUGCUGACCUGAAUCCUCUUGGGUAUGCUCCUGCUCCCCUGAUUCAGAUCCAUUCCCCCUCUCAUGAUCAAGAGGGGUUGUUCCUCCAGCUUCUCCAGUUUGAUUAGAAGGUCCGGUUCUUCCUGGUUCCUGAUCUUGGGAUAAUCCUAUCCCUAGCCUCUCCAACAACACCCUCAAUGUUGUUGCCUUCUCUGAUGGAGCUCGGGACAGAUCCUCUAGGUCUUCCCAUUUCUUCUCCUCAUAAUACCCUUUAGACUCAACAAACUUCACUUCUCUAGAUACCAUAACCCUCCUAGUUAUUGGAUCAUAACAUUUGUAGCCUUUCUGAGUGAUUGAGUACCCAAUGAACAUAGCUUUAGUACUCUUUGCUUCUAGCUUGUUCCUUCUUUCUCCGGGAAUCAUCACAUAACAUAAGCACCCAAAGACUCUCAAAUGAUCAAUGUGUGGCUUGGCCUUGUUCAAUACUUCAAAGGGAGACAGUUUCUUCAAGACACGGGUUGGCACUCUAUUGAUGAGAUAGCAAGCAGUCUGAACAGCAUCACUCCAAAACCUCUUAGGAACAUUCAUGUGGAACAUGAUUGAUCUCGCAACCUCCAUCAAAUGUCUGUUCUUCCUCUCAGCCACCCCAUUUUGUUGUGGUGUGUAAGGACAGCUAGUUUGUUGCACAAUCCCAUGCUUUGCAAGAUGACUCUUGAAAGCAUUGCUAGUGUAUUCUCCUCCAUUAUCAGACCUCAGAAUCCUCACAGUGGCAUUGUACUGAUUAGUAACAUAUGCUUGGAAGUUCAUGAAGGCGUCUAGGACUCUGUCUUUGGAGGGAAUCAUGGUGAUCCAUGUGUACUUGGACUUCUCAUCAAUGAAAGUCACAAAGUACUUAUGGCUGUCUCUAGACAUACAGGGAGCUGUCCACACGUCUGAAUGUACCAGAUCAAAGCAAUUCUCAUAUCUGGUUUCUGAUGUUGGGAAGACAGUCCUACAGUGCUUUCCAAGUAUACAAGCUUCACACUCCAAGUGAUUGAACGCCAUACUUGGUAGAAUCAGUUCAAUUGCCUUGGCAUGAGGAUGUCCCAGCCUUGCAUGCCAUGUGAGAUUAUCACACCUAUCCGUUGUGCUGCUUAAACACACAGACUCCACAGGACUAGGCGCCUCAGUUGUUUGGAGAUGAUAGAGCUGAUGCUUGCUGUCUCCUCUGCCAAUAACCCUUCCAGUCUUCAAAUCCUGGAACUCAACUUCAUUUGGUCUGAAAACCACUUGACAAUCCAGAUCAACUGUAGCCUUCUUAACUGAGAUUAGAUUGGAUGUAAACUGAGGUAGGUAGAAGGCAGUGGAGUUCUUCUCAAACAGCUUGAGGUUUCCCACUCCUUCUAUUGGGAUCCUGGUACCAUUGGCUAUCAUGACACUCCCUGUUGCUGCUUUAACCUCACUGAUUAGUCUCUUGUCACUGAUCAUGUGGUGUGUUGCUCCAGAGUCAAUGAUGAUGGGUUUAGAUGUGGAUGCUUUGGCAGGAGCACCCAGACUCCGGGUCGUAGCCAAAGCAUACACAUGCUUAACCAACUCAUCCCAUUCCUUCUUUGUCACACACUCAUCUGCCCUCUUGGUAUCCAUUCCUCUCAUAUCCGCACUGUCUCCUACUGUCUCUCCCAUGUAAGCUGAGUAUGAACACUCUCCUAUAACCAUCUGCUGAAGUACAUCCUUGAUUCUCUUCAAGAUUACACUCAUCCUGUCACUUAAGUGCUCAGACUCGCUAUCCUUUCUCCAUGCCCUUCUCUUCAUUAACCACUCCUUAGAAAGUUUUCUCAACCUUCCCCUCUUACAGCUUGUACCUCCCUUCCAUCUUUCUGGCUUCCUGUUCAUUUCCCACACAUCACAAGUAUAUUUAACAAGCUCACAUACCUCUUCCAUAAGGAAGCUGAAGAUCACAUCUUGCUUCCUCCUUCCUUGACAACAUCUCGGAUUUGAUGUGUGUGUCUUCACCACAUCUAGCUCCGACCAUACUUCUCUCAGCCUUCCCACAAGCUGAUAACACUCAUCCUCUCCUUGUCUCAAGCCGCGGAUCACCCCUCUGUCCUCAACGACUCUCACAAGCUUGGACUUGCCUAAAGUUGCUUCAAUCUCACUCUUUGUAGUGUCUCCUUGAACAACUUCAUUUCCCAGCUUCAGACCUCUUGUCUGACCUUCUUCAGUAGCCAUUUCCAUGAAAGGUUUCCCCUUUCCAUGACUACUCCAUAACCCACAGCUUUCCACAGCUCUCUUUGCCCAUCUUGACCAAUCGCCAUCCCUCUCUUCUUCAAGCUCCAUGGUUGUACUAGAUCUGUGCUUCAUUUCCAUGUUGAGAUAGUUUGAAUCCAUCAGAAUAUCUCACACCACUCAGAUAAUAAAGACCAGAACUCAAGAACACCAAGAACACUCAAGAACCCUCAAGAACACUCAAGAACACCCAGAUUUUAUGAAAAACGAAAUCACACUCUCCCCUUUUUAGCAACCUGGCUCUGAUACCAUAUACACUUUUGUGUAUUAGAGCAUGAUUCAACCAAUCAGGGAUAAUCAGAUGAAAAGAUUAAAGAGAUUAAGAGAUUCUAGUGAGAGAAUAAAGAGAGAGAGACUCAAAACUCCAUUAAUUAAUAACUGAUGAGGUUUACAAGUAUUAAUAGAGAGAGCAACAAGGAAAUUCGAAAUGGUUAAGCAUGUGUAGUCAAAGGACAGGCUGGAACUCCUUUUGAAUCACUUGGCUGUGCUUUCUCACAUGCUUGCACUAGUAUAAAGGUAACUUCUCCUUUCCAGCAUCAUACAGGCUGUCAAAGUGAUCCCUUAUCCUUCCUUAACCUCACUUAUCUUCUUUGGUCGAGUUUCCUCUCUUCUCUUCACUAAGUUACCUUCUCAUCCCAUCAGAUAACUUCCCCAAGUAGUUACUGUGGUUAAAAUAAAGUUACCACAGUAAAACUCUAAAGUUACUGUCUCAGCCUCCUUGGUCUUCAUCUCAAUACUCCCCCUCAAGCUUGACCAUGUAGAACAAGUCAAGCUUGGAAACCAUGAAGACCUCCCUCGUUAAAAACCUCACCAAGUAAAACCCAUUGGGAUAAAACCUUGAUGAGGGAAAAAGAGUGGAGACUCCAUGGUUAAGGGGCUCAGCUCCUAGGAGUCAGAUCAAUGAGUCCAAGCCUUGACAGUAUGGACUCCAUUGUCUUCAAUCUCGCUGCCUUAGUAAACACAUCUGCAAGCUGAUCUUCACUUCUUGUAUAACAUGGCAGAAUCACUCCUAAGAUGAUCAUCUGCCUCACCUUAUGACAAUCCACCUCUAUGUGCUUUGUUCUCUCAUGAAACACUGAAUUGGAGGCAAUGUGGAUAGCUGCUUGAUUGUCACAAUGCAUUGUCAUAGGUGUGGCCUGCUCGAUCUCCAAGUGCUUCAAGAUCCCCUUGAUCCACACCAACUCAUUUGUAAGCUUCAACAUAGCUCUAUACUCAGCUUCAGCACUUGAACAGGAGAUGACCUUCUGCUUCUUACUCUUCCAAGUAACCAGAUUCCCUCCAAUGAAUGUACAAUACCCAGUAGUUGAUCUCCUGUCCACUCUAUCUCCUGCCCAAUCAGCAUCACAAUACCCAACCACUUCUGUACUGCCAUUGCAACCCAUCCAAACUCCUUGUCCAUGUGAGCCACUCAAAUACCUCAGUAUCCUAUCAACCAUCUUCCAGUGAUGUACCUUUGGCGCCUGCAUAUGUUGGCUCACUUGAUUCACAGCAAAGCAUAUAUCAGGUCUGGUGAUAGUCAAGUAGAUCAGCUUACCCACCAUCCUCCUAUACAGCUUAGCAUCCUCAAACAACUGGUUCUCUUCAACCUCCCCCUCACGCAAGACCUUAUACCCUUCCUCAAGAGGUGUCUUAGCUAUCUUCCCUCCAAGCACAUCAGUCUCCUUCAGCAUAUCCAUAGUAUACUUCCUUUGAGACAUAAACAAACCCUCCUUAGAUCUGCAUAUCUCAAUCCCCAAAAAAUACUUCAUCUCUCCCAAGUCUUUAAUAUCAAACACAGACUUGAGAAACUCUUUGGUGGCUUUAAUCCCAGCCUUAUCACUCCCUGUGAUAAUCAAAUCAUCCACAUACACCAAAAUCACUAUGAUCCCUGAUGGUCCAACCAGUGUGAAGAGUGUAUGAUCUAGUUCAGACUUCCUGAACCCUCUCCCAUUGAGAGUUGUACUAAGCUUUCUGUACCAAGCUCUAGGAGACUGCUUCAGCCCAUAUAUAGCCUUCUUCAAUCUCAAAACAUUCCCUGGCUUUACUAGAUGCUCAAGACCAGGAGGUGGAUGCAUGUAUACUUCAUCUUCAAGUUCACCUUGCAAGAAGGCAUUCUUCACAUCCAUUUGCCACAAAUCCCACUCCAAGUUUGUUGCAAUAGAUAACACAAUUCGAAUUGUGUGAAGCUUGGCCACUGGUGCAAAAGUAUCAAUGUAAUCUUCCCCAUAAGUCUGUGUAAAUCCUCUUGCAACCAGCCUAGUCUUGCGCCUAUCUAUCUCCCCAUUUGCAAGGUACUUGAUGGUGAAGAUCCAUCUGCUUGAAACUGCCUUCUUCCCUUUAGGUAACUCACUCUCAUACCAAGUAUUAUUCCUGAUCAUUGCAUCCCUUUCAUCUCCUACUGAAUCUCUCCAAACCUUGUGCUUCAUAGCUUCUUCAUAAGAUCUUGGUAUCUCAUUCUCAUCCAAGUUACACAUAAACACCAUGUGCUCUUCUGGAAACUCUGCAAAGGAACACACGGCUUGAGAGGGAUGCUCCACAGCCUGGGCAUUGUAGUACACUCUCGUGUUUACCCAGUUGGAAGGAUCCCUCCUUAUCCUUGUGCUCCUCCGCAAGGUCUCAACCUGUUCUUCAGCCUGAACAUUCUCUUGUGCUUCCUCUCUUAAACCAGUAGGUUCUCCCUGCUCAUUUCCACCUGACUGAGCUUCACUCUCUACUUCCUGUGUCUCCUCCUGAUCAUGCUGACCUGAAUCCUCUUGGUUAUGCUCCUGCUCCCCUGAUUCAGAUCCAUUCCCCCUCUCAUGAUCAAGAGGGGUUGUUCCUCCAGCUUCUCCAGUUUGAUUAGAAGGUCCGGUUCUUCCUGGUUCCUGAUCUUGGGAUAAUCCUAUCCCUAGCCUCUCCAACAACACUCUCAAUGUUGUUGCCUUCUCUGAUGGAGCUCGGGACAGAUCCUCUAGGUCUUCCCAUUUCUUCUCCUCAUAAUACCCUUUAGACUCAACAAACUUCACUUCUCUAGAUACCAUAACCCUCCUAGUUAUUGGAUCAUAACAUUUGUAGCCUUUCUGAGUGAUUGAGUACCCAAUGAACAUAGCUUUAGUACUCUUUGCUUCUAGCUUGUUCCUUCUUUCUCCGGGAAUCAUCACAUAACAUAAGCACCCAAAGACUCUCAAAUGAUCAAUGUGUGGCUUGGCCUUGUUCAAUACUUCAAAGGGAGACAGUUUCUUCAAGACACGGGUUGGCACUCUAUUGAUGAGAUAGCAAGCAGUCUGAACAGCAUCACUCCAAAACCUCUUAGGGACAUUCAUGUGGAACAUGAUUGAUCUCGCAACCUCCAUCAAAUGUCUGUUCUUCCUCUCAGCCACCCCAUUUUGUUGUGGUGUGUAAGGACAGCUAGUUUGUUGCACAAUCCCAUGCUUUGCAAGAUGACUCUUGAAAGCAUUGCUAGUGUAUUCUCCUCCAUUAUCAGACCUCAGAAUCCUCACAGUGGCAUUGUACUGAUUAGUAACAUAUGCUUGGAAGUUCAUGAAGGCUUCUAGGACUCUGUCUUUGGAGGGAAUCAUGGUGAUCCAUGUGUACUUGGACUUCUCAUCAAUGAAAGUCACAAAGUACUUAUGGCUGUCUCUAGACAUACAGGGAGCUGUCCACACGUCUGAAUGCACCAGAUCAAAGCAAUUCUCAUAUCUGGUUUCUGAUGUUGGGAAGACAGUCCUACAGUGCUUUCCAAGUAUACAAGCUUCACACUCCAAGUGAUUGAACGCCAUACUUGGUAGAAUCAGUUCAAUUGCCUUGGCAUGAGGAUGUCCCAGCCUUGCAUGCCAUGUGAGAUUAUCACACCUAUCCGUUGUGCUGCUUAAACACACAGACUCCACAGGACUAGGCGCCUCAGUUGUUUGGAGAUGAUAGAGCUGAUGCUUGCUGUCUCCUCUGCCAAUAACCCUUCCAGUCUUCAAAUCCUGGAACUCAACUUCAUUUGGUCUGAAAACCACUUGACAAUCCAGAUCAACUGUAGCCUUCUUAACUGAGAUUAGAUUGGAUGUAAACUGAGGUAGGUAGAAGGCAGUGGAGUUCUUCUCAAACAGCUUGAGGUUUCCCACUCCUUCUAUUGGGAUCCUGGUACCAUUGGCUAUCAUGACACUCCCUGUUGCUGCUUUAACCUCACUGAUUAGUCUCUUGUCACUGAUCAUGUGGUGUGUUGCUCCAGAGUCAAUGAUGAUGGGUUUAGAUGUGGAUGCUUUGGCAGGAGCACCCAGACUCCGGGUCGUAGCCAAAGCAUACACAUGCUUAACCAACUCAUCCCAUUCCUUCUUUGUCACACACUCAUCUGCCCUCUUGGUAUCCAUUCCUCUCAUAUCCGCACUGUCUCCUACUGUCUCUCCCAUGUAAGCUGAGUAUGAACACUCUCCUAUAACCAUCUGCUGAAGUACAUCCUUGAUUCUCUUCAAGAUUACACUCAUCCUGUCACUUAAGUGCUCAGACUCGCCAUCCUUUCUCCAUGCCCUUCUCUUCAUUAACCACUCCUUAGAAAGUUUUCUCAACCUUCCCCUCUUACAGCUUGUACCUCCCUUCCAUCUUUCUGGCUUCCUGUUCAUUUCCCACACAUCACAAGUAUAUUUAACAAGCUCACAUACCUCUUCCAUAAGGAAGCUGAAGAUCACAUCUUGCUUCCUCCUUUCUUGACAACAUCUCGGAUUUGAUGUGUGUGUCUUCACCACAUCUAGCUCCGACCAUACUUCUCUCAGCCUUCCCACAAGCUGAUAACACUCAUCCUCUCCUUGUCUCAAGCCGCGGAUCACCCCUCUGUCCUCAACGACUCUCACAAGCUUGGACUUGCCUAAAGUUGCUUCAAUCUCACUCUUUGUAGUGUCUCCUUGAACAACUUCAUUUCCCAGCUUCAGACCUCUUGUCUGACCUUCUUCAGUAGCCAUUUCCAUGAAAGGUUUCCCCUUUCCAUGACUACUCCAUAACCCACAGCUUUCCAAAGCUCUCUUUGCCCAUCUUGACCAAUCGCCAUCCCUCUCUUCUUCAAGCUCCAUGGUUGUACUAGAUCUGUGCUUCAUUUCCAUGUUGAGAUAGUUUGAAUCCAUCAGAAUAUCUCACACCACUCAGAUAAUAAAGACCAGAACUCAAGAACACCAAGAACACUCAAGAACCCUCAAGAACACUCAAGAACACCCAGAUUUUAUGAAAAACGAAAUCACACUCUCCCCUUUUUAGCAACCUGGCUCUGAUACCAUAUACACUUUUGUGUAUUAGAGCAUGAUUCAACCAAUCAGGGAUAAUCAGAUGAAAAGAUUAAAGAGAUUAAGAGAUUCUAGUGAGAGAAUAAAGAGAGAGAGACUCAAAACUCCAUUAAUUAAUAACUGAUGAGGUUUACAAGUAUUAAUAGAGAGAGCAACAAGGAAAUUCGAAAUGGUUAAGCAUGUGUAGUCAAAGGACAGGCUGGAACUCCUUUUGAAUCACUUGGCUGUGCUUUCUCACAUGCUUGCACUAGUAUAAAGGUAACUUCUCCUUUCCAGCAUCAUACAGGCUGUCAAAGUGAUCCCUUAUCCUUCCUUAACCUCACUUAUCCUCUUUGGUCGAGUUUCCUCUCUUCUCUUCACUAAGUUACCUUCUCAUCCCAUCAGAUAACUUCCCCAAGUAGUUACUGUGGUUAAAAUAAAGUUACCACAGUAAAACUCUAAAGUUACUGUCUCAGCCUCCUUGGUCUUCAUCUCAAUAGUUGCCACUGCUUGUUACCUGAUAAACAGAACUCCAACCAAAGUUCUGAAUGAGAAGGCUCCAUUUGAAGUUCUGAACAGGUACAAGCCAGCUCUUGAUUACUUGCGAGUCUUUGGAUGCCUAUGCUUUGUCCUCAAACCAGGAGAGAUGAUCAACAAGCUAGAAGCAAGAAGCACUAAGGCUGUGUUCAUAGGAUACUCAGCUACACAGAAAGGAUACAAAUGCUAUGAUCCUAUAGCAAGGAGAGUUCUUGUAUCUAGAGAUGUGAAGUUCUUGGAAGAUAGAGGAUACUAUGAAGAAAAGAAUCAAGAAGACCUGAAGGACUUAACAUCAGACAAGGCCACCACCUUGCGGAUCAUUCUUGAAGGUCUUGGAAUCAGUACAUCCCAGGAUCCGAGGAAUCACGCAACUACACCUCCUGAAGUUGGUUCACCAUCCCACCUUGAUCAUGAGGGAGGAGAGGAGCAUGAGGAGCCUAUGCAAGAGGCCAACCAAGAUGAAGGAGGAGUAGAGAAUGAAGGAGAAGAGAGCAUAGGCUCGGAUGGUCAUGGACAUGAUCAUGGUGUGACACAAACACCUUCUCAAGAUGAAGUGGUAGAAGAACAACAGGAAGAAGAACCAGUUGUGCAGCCACUAAGAAGGAGUACAAGGAUAAGGAAGGAUCCUUCCAGUUGGGUAAACACGAGAGUGUACUACAAUGCCCAAGCUGUGGAGCAUCCUUCUCAAGCCGUGUGCUCCUUUGCUCAAUAUCCAGAAGCACAUUGCGCGUUCAUGGUAAACUUGGAUGAGAAUCACAUCCCAAGAAGCUAUGAAGAAGCAAUGAAAGAUAAAGAAUGGAAGGAAUCAGUUGGAGAUGAGGCAGGAGCGAUGAUCAAGAAUGAUACAUGGUAUGAGAGUGAGUUACCAAAAGGGAAGAAGGCUGUGACUAGUAGAUGGAUAUUCACAAUCAAGUACAAAGCGGAUGGAAAGGUUGAGAGGAAGAAGUCAAGACUAGUUGCAAGAGGGUUCACUCAAACUUAUGGAGAAGAUUACAUAGAAACCUUUGCACCAGUAGCUAAACUCCACACAAUCCGGAUUGUACUAAGCUUGGCUGUGAAUCUUGGAUGGGGGUUAUGGCAAAUGGAUGUGAAGAAUGCGUUUCUACAAGGUGAACUUGAGGAUGAAGUGUAUAUGCAUCCACCUCCAGGCCUUGAACACUUAGUAAAGAGUGGGAAUGUACUGAGAUUGAAGAAAGCCAUCUAUGGACUGAAGCAAUCACCAAGGGCUUGGUACAACAAGUUGAGCACUACUCUGAAUGGCCGAGGCUUCAAGAAGUCUGAACUAGAUCACACUCUCUUCACUCUCACGACUCCCGCAGGUAUGAUUGCUCUCCUUGUGUAUGUUGAUGAUAUCAUUAUCACAGGGAGUGAUAAGGAAGGUAUCAUAGCAACCAAGGAGUUUCUUAAAUCCAUGUUUGAGAUUAAAGACUUGGGAGAAAUGAAAUACUUCCUUGGAAUUGAGAUAUGUAGAUCCAAGGAAGGUUUGUUCAUGUCCCAAAGGAAAUAUACACUUGAUCUUUUGAAAGGUGCAGGUGCUUAUGGAGGCAAGACAGCAAGGAUGCCUAUGGAGGAUGGCUACAAAGUCCCACGAGAGGGGGAGAUUGAAGACAGCAAACCUUAUCAGGAUCCUAAACUCUAUAGAAAACUAGUUGGCAAAUUGAUUUAUCUUACUAUAACUAGACCUGACAUCUGCUUUGCUGUGAAUCAGGUGAGUCAACACAUGCAAGUGCCUAAGGAACAUCACUGGCACAUGGUGGAGAGGAUCUUGAUGUAUCUCAACGGCUCACCUGAUCAAGGAGUAUGGAUGGGCUGCAAUGGAAGCACUGAAGUGGUGGGAUAUUGUGAUGCGGAUUGGGCUGGUGAUAGAGCAGACAGGAGAUCAACCACAGGCUAUUGCACAUUCAUUGGAGGCAACUUGGUGACUUGGAAGAGCAAGAAGCAGAAGGUAGUGUCAUGUUCAAGUGCAGAAGCCGAGUAUAGAGCCAUGCUGAAGCUCACCAACGAGUUGGUAUGGAUCAAAGGCAUCUUGAAGCACUUGGAGAUCGAUCAAGCAACUCCAAUGACAAUGCAUUGUGACAAUCAAGCUGCCAUCCACAUUGCAUCCAACUCGGUGUUUCAUGAGAGGACCAAGCACAUUGAAGUUGAUUGUCACAAGGUGAGGCAGAUGAUUGUGCUAGGGGUGAUCUUGCCAUGUUACACAAGGAGUGAAGAUCAGCUAGCGGAUGUGUUCACCAAGGCUGCAAGACAGAAGACAAUGGAGUCCAUUCACAUCAGGUUGGGCCUCAUUGAUCUUGGGAAGAGAAGGAGCUAAUCCCCUUAGCUGCAAGGUCUUUACUCUUUUUCCCUCAUCAAAGUUUUAUCCCAUUGGGUUUUCUUUGGUGAGGUUUUUAAUGAGGAAGAUCUUGUGGCUGUCCAAGCUUAGACUUAUACAAAGCUAAGCUUGAGGGGGAGUGUUGAGUUGAGCUGAAUAUAUAUGUAUGAAGAGCUAAGGAGUUGAAGAGGAAAGGAGAUGAGGAAGCUUGAGAGAGUUUAGGGAGAGCAUGGUACGGACGUCCGUACAAGGCCGUACAAGCCGUACAGUCCGUACCAUCCAGCAUCGACCAAGACUUACCUUGCAUCAGCCAAGUAACACGGUAACUAAGGUAAAGGGAAGGAACUUACCUUGAGGCAUCAGACCGUUUAGGGAUAAGGUAGAGCGCGCCUUGACAGGCUGGAACAGCUGGAAAGGCAAGAGCAUCUCGGUCCAAGAUGCCAGAUACUCCGCGCAUGUGGAGAAGCUAAUUGGCUAGUCCAAAUGAGCUUAUCCUCUCCUGAUUGACCUCACAUGCUUUAGUCUUCUCUUGAUUUCGAAAACCCUUGUAUGCUCUCUCUAUAUAUUGUAACUCAUCAACCCUAAUGAAGAUUAUGCAGUUUGAGUCUCUCUAAUCUCUUAGACACUAUGCUUUUCUCUUAGACACUAAACGGCUCUAUCUAGUCUCCUAAUCUUUCACAAACUUCUCUUAAUCACUUCCUAAACACUCUCUUUAUUCUGUUUACUCUAAGGAUCUCUUAAUCUCAUACUAUUGUGAGGUGAUUGAAGAAGUAGCUGAAGCAUCCACAAGCAUUCCAUCAUGGUGGCAAAUUUAGAAGGGUGAUUGCAAUAAGAGAAGAAGAAGAAGUGAGGAUUCAAGUGGCAACGACCACUCCUCAUCACCUUAAACAAGGGAGUAAACCUAGUCUCAUCUAUCUUAAUAUAUCUUGAUAGGUUUAUCUCCUGAUUAUACUAUGUGCUUUCCCUAAGAGUUUAUAGCUUCUAAGUAGAAUGUCUAGGCUAAUUGCACUGAGAUUGUUUUGCUGCUGCAUUGUCUUAUUGAUAGUAAGUAAUGUCUAGAGUCCCAGAAUCUCAUGUUCUGUUUAUUGCUUUGUCUUGAGUGUUGUCAUAGCUUGAAUCAUCAUGAAUGUGUUGUAGAAUUGAGUAGAAUGUCUCUGCUGCUUGCAUCAUGAUUGAUAAGUUAUUUUGCAUACAUAAGCAUAUCUCAUACUGUCUAAGUUCAAUCCUAGUGUUAUCUGAUGCUAUUGCCUAUGUUUAAUCCAUCAAUGAAAGUCUUGCAUCAAUUAGAAAUUGUCUAAGUUGCUUGCAUCAUUGGUUCUGAUUGAAACUGUUGUGCAGAGCUUUAAUAUUACUCAUGGAUUGAACCUGUUGCAUUCAUAUAGCUAAUGCUUUAAGAUUGUGCAUUCAUGUAGUAAUGCAUUUAAAAAUGAGCCUAAAUUGCAAAUGUACUGAUAUAAGCUUUGCAUUUAGAGAACUGUAUAGAACUUGCAUUGUCAUUGUUAGAAAUUGAAAUCUGCGUGUCUUGACUCAGUCCAGUUCUGAUUGUUGCUAUGCCAUAGUUAAAUCCAUCAGUGAUGUCUUAUAAGCAUUUAGAAGUAUGUCUAAGCUACUUGAAUCAUUGGCUUUGAUAAAACUAGUGAGCAUAAGCAUGAAUUGAGUCACUCUUGUCGCCUUAAUUGCAUAAGUAUCAUCUAGACUUGUGUUCCAUUUGGAUUGAAUCUGUUUCAUUCAUAUAGUUAGUGUAACCUAAUGCAUUCAUCUAUUGUUGCAUUUAAAAAAAAAACUGAAUUGAUUGUCUUUGCUUGAUUGUCUUGAUUGUCUAGCUUGUUUCAAGUAUCAUAUAUUAUUGUGGCAUUGGUGAUCAAACAGGAUGGAUGAUCUUGGUUUGAUCCCAAUGAGAUGAUCUGAUCUUGCAUUGAGUUGUGGUGGUGUUAGGUACACAAGGAAUGUGAUACAUGAAACUCGCCAACAACCAAGAAUGUAAAGACAAAGAUCUUGUGCCAUUGCAUAUCAUCACUAGGACAUGUUAUUAGUCCAUAAUCUACAGGAAGUGUAGUGUGAUUGAGUAUGCAAUGAGAGAUGGCCAUUGCAUAAUACCAUUGGACAUAUCUAGUCCUUAGUCUACAGGAAGUGUAGCAUGGGUCAUUAUGCAAUGAGAGGCGUGUCUUGUGAGACUCUCUAUGGUGAUUCAAACACCCUAAUUCCUGGUUAAGGAAGAGAGAAAACUCACAAUUAGAUAGCUAUCAUAAAAGAUGAUAGUUAAUUAGACCAUGGAGAUGCAUAGGAUCAUCACAAGCUUAGCUCCUUCUAGUCUUGGUUCUAAGCUUGAGGGGGAGUCUUAAUGCAUAUGAUCCAUGGUCAGUAACAAGUCUUUGCAAAGGCUUCUACAAGGAUCAUCAACCGGACCAAGAUAGUGGCGUGUCUAGGCAAGAGGCUGUUCAGAGCAGUCUUGGCGAGUGAAGAAGAACGCUCUCCAUCAAUGCGGCUUCAAUGAGAGGUGAUUGAGGAGAAGCUGAUGAAUCCAUUCUGCCUUUCCAAGAAGUUGGUGAUGCCAUGAAGAUGGUGCAUUGGCCGAGUUAGGAAACUCACAAAAACACAAGGGAAGUUCCCUUAGACUUUUAAAACCUUUUUAUUCAUCUUAUUCAUUGCUUGUGCUUGAAAAGAUACGUAAAAUGAUUAUGAUUGAAUUGUGAGAUUGUGUGCAUCAAGUGUGAUGCAGGAUAUUCAUUUUCUUGUUUUUGAUAGGUACUGAUGCACCUUUGGGAUAAUGUAUCAGGUACCAUUGCUUGAGCCUCACUAAAGGUGUUCCUGGUCAUUUCCUAGCUUCUCUAAGGUGGCUGUGAAGUCCGUUGAGAGGGGGAGAUUCAAACCAGUUCUAUGAAGAGGGCAAGCCGUGUGUAAAGUGUUGAUCAGCCUCACUGGUGUUUUGAAGAUGAUCUGGUCGUGUCCUAGCUUCUCUAAGAUGGCUGAGAAGUCAGUUGAGAGGGGGAGACUUCAAACCGGUUCCAUGAAGAGGUGAAGCUGAAGUGUGAAGUGUGCGCAAAGCUGUGAAGAGUUGCUGCACCUAUUAGGACGUGAUCCAGAGCUUCUUGUGUCCAACCACACUGGUUCUAAGGCACAAGAGCUCACUGGCCAAUCCCUAGGCUUUGGAGAGCUCUACUCUUUUUCCCUUGCAAGGUUUUGUCCCAAUGGGUUUUCCUUGUAAGGUUUUUAAUGAGGGAGACUCUUCAGAGUUCCAAGCUUGGCUUAGGAUCUCCUAAAGUCAAGCUUGAGGGGGAGUGUUGAACUGAAGAGAAGAUGGAGCUUGUACAAUGAUAGGGCAAGCUCUAGAAGAUGUCUAGAAGAGUUCAAUCAAGCUUCAGAAGUGUUCUGAAGAAGUUAUCUUGUGAAGAUAAGUCUAGGAAAGACUUAGACUGAUCAUGUGAGGGCUUUGGAGGAUUACAGAGAAGAUGGAAGUGUGGUGCAAAGAUAGGGCCAAGUCCAGGAGGGACUUAGAAGAGUAUUUGGGCGAGUGUGCAAACUUAGGGACUGGCUGUACGGACCGUACGGAUCCGUACGGACCGAGACAUCCCGAAAGUUCACCAGUCAACCAUUUGAGCACAUUUGAAGUUGGUGCAAAAAUAGGGCACUGGUGAAAAAGGUAAGUUCCUUCCCUUUACCUUAGUUACCGUGUUACUUGGCUGAUGCAAGGUAAGUCUUGGUCGAUGCUGGAUGGUACGGACUGUACGGCUUGUACGGCCUUGUACGGACGUCCGUACCAUGCUCUCCCUAAACUCUCUCAAGCUUCCUCAUCUCCUUUCCUCUUCAACUCCUUAGCUCUUCAUACAUAUAUAUUCAGCUCAACUCAACAAUGGGAGCCUUUAGCUAGCCAAUAAGGAGCCAGCCUUCCCUUGACCAGAUUCAAAUGGACCAAUUAUCCAUCAGGAACAGCACAGCCACGACCAAGACCAUCUGUCCAUCUCAUCCAUUCAUUUAAAUUCAAGUUAUAACAGCCCUUAGAUUUAGGUUUAUGAUUGCAAGUUGUAAAGAGCAUAUAUAAGCUCAUAAGUGAUGUUUUGUAACUCUUAAGUGAGUAAGGGGGUUUCCCUUCUCCUUCUCUAAUCUGAAACACUUUCUUAGUCUCUCUAGUCUCUCAUCCUGAAUCUCUAUACACGUUCUCAGUCUUGUUACUAAUCUCUUAAACACUUAGACACACAAACACUCAUCAAACUUCCUUUCUCUCAAAUCGCUUCCAAGCUCUCUCUCUUUACCCAUUUGGGUUUCAUACACACAUACAACCUGAGUACUCUUAAAUCUCUAUGGUAUCAGAGCCAGGUUCAUUAGAACUUGGUUCCAGCUUCUGCUAAGCUCAAAGCUCACUCCCAUUCCAUUUCCAAACCAAGAAGAAGCUUCAUGGUCAUUUGGCUGUUCAACCUCUUCAAGAAGAAGGUGUGCUCAUCAAUGGCGUCCAGAAGCUGUUCUUGGUCGUUCUCCACUCUCUCAUGGUCGUCCUGAAGAAAGAAGGCCAUUGGAAGCAUGUCCAAGCCAUUCCCAUUCACUGUCCAAGAAGAAAGGUGAAAGCUUUCAACUUGUACCUGGUAUGGCGACUCAAAAAUGAAGAGAGGAGGUGUCUUAGGCAUGGUGGGUUCAAGAGAAAGGUCCAUGAAAGAAGGAGAUGUAGGAGUUGACACCAACAGCUCGGAUCUUCCCAUGUACUAAGGAGUUUCAAGGAAUUAACACUAGUUCCUUGGCUGUAAGGAAAUCUCUUUCUCUUGUAUAAAGCUUGAGUGUAUGAACAGGUUGUGAUGUUGUGAUGUGAUUGGAAACCUGAGGAUUGUUUAAAAGAUUGCUAAAAUGAAGUUGCUUUAGAAUCUGUCCCAGGAUACUUUAAGAGUCUUGUUUGGGUAUUGAAAUUGUUUAGUAUGCUUAGCUCCGGUUCAUAGUGAUGCUUGUUGUGAUUAAUUAAAUCUGCUUGCAUACAUGGAGUGAAACCGAAUUUGAAGCUGUUGCAUAUAGUCUUGUGGCUGUCUUACAUUGAAGUAUUAGAUUCAUGUCUAAGUACUGAGUAAAGAAGCUCUUAAGAGUGCCUAAGUAACUUGUCUUGAAUCUGUUAGGAUCUUACUUGUACUUAGAGAUUUAGCUUGCAGAGAAUAGAACUUGAUAAUGCCUUGUGUCUAUCUGUUGCAUUGCUUGUGAUAUUGGGAAUCAAACUUGAUAAUUUAUUAAUCAAGAUUUGACAUCAAUACUACUGAAAAUGGUUAAAUGCUUAAUGUCAGUUCUAAAUUAACUUGUCUUGUUAAGAUGAUAGAUUAUAUUAUCUAAUCAUGCUUGCUUUCAUGAGUUAGAAACUGAUUAAGAUUAAUGCAUACUGCCUUGUAUUGUUGCAUUUAGAUUAAAAUCUAAGUUGCAUAAAAUUGCCUAAAUACUUUGACUUGAAUCUGAUAAGGUCUUGCUUAGUAUUUAGAGAAUGGUUGCUUGCAUAGAUAAGAACUUGACAUUGUCUUGAUUCUAUCUAAUGUUAUAAAGCUUGAGACAUUGGUGAUCAAACUUGAUGAAGUCAAGGAUUGAUCCCAAUGCAAUUGUGACUUAUCUUUGCUAGAGUUUGAGUGAUGUUUCAGGUUCACAAAAGGUGUUCCUAGUUCAUCAUCAAAUCCGAGUUGAAAGAGAAAGAAUGAUGCCCAUUGUGUGUACAAUGGAGAAGUGUUACAAAAAGGGAGAAGCACAGAUGGUUGUAAAACUCACUGGUGUUCUUCUCCUUAACAUUGCAAGUACCUGAAGAAGAAGCUAACUGGGUCUAGGCAGUGGCGUGCCUAUUCAAGAGGGUGCUCAAACUAAGACAGAGCACUCUUGGCUGUGUGAAGAAGAAGGCUACUCUAUGAAGGCGGCUUCUAUUGUGAGGUGAUUGAAGAAGUAGCUGAAGCAUCCACAAGCAUUCCAUCAUGGUGGCAAAUUCAGAAGGGUGAUUGCAAUAAGAGAAGAAGAAGAAGUGAGGAUUCAAGUGGCAACGACCACUCCUCAUCACCUUAAACAAGGGAGUAAACCUAGUCUCAUCUAUCUUAAUAUGUCUUGAUAGGUUUAUCUCCUGAUUAUACUAAUUCCAUUAAGAGUUUAUAGCUUCUAAGUAGAAUGUCUAGGCUAAUUGCACUGAGAUUGUUUUGCUGCUGCAUUGUCUUAUUGAUAGUAAGUAAUGUCUAGAGUCCCAGAAUCUCAUGUUCUGUUUAUUGCAUUGUCUUGAGUAUUGUCAUAGCUUGAAUCUUCAUGAAUGUGUUGUAGAAUUGAGUAGAAUGUCUCUGCUGCUUGCAUCAUGAUUGAUAAGUUAUUUUGCAUACUUAGCAUAUCUCAUACUGUCUAAGUUUAAUCCUAGUGUUAUCUGAUGCUAUUGCCUAUGUUUAAUCCAUCAAUGAAAGUCUUGCAUCAAUUAGAAAUUGUCUAAGUUGCUUGCAUCAUUGGUUCUGAUUGAAACUGUUGUGCAGAGCUUUAAAUAUUACUCAUGGAUUGAACCUGUUGCAUUCAUAUAGCUAAUAAUAUUACUCAUGGAUUGAACCUGUUGCAUUCAUAUAGCUAAUGCUUUAAGAUUGUGCAUUCAUGUAGUAAUGCAUUUAAAAAUGAGCCUAAAUUGCAAAUGUACUGAUAUAAGCUUUGCAUUUAGAGAACUGUAUAGAACUUGCAUUGUCAUUGUUAGAAAUUGAAAUCUGCUUGUCUUGACUCAGUCCAGUUCUGAUUGUUGCUAUGCCAUAGUUAAAUCCAUCAGUGAUGUAUUAUAAGCAAAUAGUAGUAUGUCUAAGCUACUUGAAUCAUUGGCUUUGAUAAAACUAGUGAGCAUAAGCAUGAAUUGAGUCACUCUUGUCGUCUUGAUUGCAUAAGUAUCAUCUAGACUUGUGUUCCAUUUGGAUUGAAUCUGUUUCAUUCAUAUAGUUAGUGUGUAACCUAAUGCAUUCAUCUAUUGUUGCAUUUAAAAAAAAAAAAGAAGAAAACAAAACUGAAUUGAUUGUCUUUGCUUGAUUGUCUUGAUUGUCUAGCUUGUCUCAAGUAUCCUAUAUUAUUGUGGCAUUGGUGAUCAAACAGGAUGGAUAAUCUUGGUUUGAUCCCAAUGGGAUGAUCUGAUCUUGCAUUGAGUUGUGGUGGUGUUAGGUACACAAGGAAUGUGAUACAUGAAACUCGCCAACAACCAAGAAUGUAAAGACAAAGAUCUUGUGCCAUUGCAUAUCAUCACUAGGACAUGUUAGUCCAUAAUCUACAGGAAGUGUAGUGUGAUUGAGUAUGCAAUGAGAGAUGGCCAUUGCAUAAUACCAUUGGACAUAUCUAGUCCUUAGUCUACAGGAAGUGUAGCAUGGGUCAUUAUGCAAUGAGAGAUGUGUCUUGUGAGACUCUCUAUGGUGAUUCAAACACCCUAAUUCCUGGUUAAGGAAGAGAGAAAACUCACAAGAAGAAAGCUAUCAUAAAAGAUGAUAGUUAUUAGACCAUGGAGAUGCAUAGGAUCAUCACAAGCUUAGCUCCUUCUAGUCUUGGUUCUAAGCUUGAGGGGGAGUCUUAAUGCAUAUGAUCCAUGGUCAGUAACAAGUCUUUGCAAAGGCUUCUACAAGGAUCAUCAACCGGACCAAGAUAGUGGCGUGUCUAGGCAAGAGGCUGUUCAGAGCAGUCUUGGCGAGUGAAGAAGAACGCUCUCCAUCAAUGCGGCUUCAAUGAGAGGUGAUUGAGGAGAAGCUGAUGAAUCCAUUCUGCCUUUCCAAGAAGUUGGUGAUGCCAUGAAGAUGGUGCAUUGGCCGAGUUAGGAAACUCACAAAAACACAAGGGAAGUUCCCUUAGACUUUUAAAACCUUUUUAUUCAUCUUAUUCAUUGCUUGUGCUUGAAAAGAUACGUAAAAUGAUUAUGAUUGAAUUGUGAGAUUGUGUGCAUCAAGUGUGAUGCAGGAUAUUCAUUUUCUUGUUUUUGAUAGGUACUGAUGCACCUUUGGGAUAAUGUAUCAGGUACCAUUGCUUGAGCCUCACUAAAGGUGUUCCUGGUCAUUUCUAGCUUCUCUAAGGUGGCUGUGAAGUCUGUUGAGAGGGGGAGAUUCAAACCAGUUCUAUGAAGAGGGAAAGCCGUGUGUGAAGUGUUGAUCAACCUCACUGGUGUUUUGAAGAUGAUCUGGUCGUGUCCUAGCUUCUCUAAGAUGGCUGAGAAGUCAGUUGAGAGGGGGAGACUUCAAACCGGUUCCAUGAAGAGGUUUUGAAGAUGAUCUGGUCGUGUCCUAGCUUCUCUAAGAUGGCUGAGAAGUCAGUUGAGAGGGGGAGACUUCAAACCGGUUCCAUGAAGAGGUGAAGCUGAAGUGUGAAGUGUGCGCAAAGCUGUGAAGAGUUGCUGCACCUAUUAGGCCGUGAUCCAGAGCUUCUUGUGUCCAACCACACUGGUUCUAAGGCACAAGAGCUCACUGGCCAAUCCCUAGGCUUUGGAGAGCUCUACUCUUUUUCCCUUGCAAGGUUUUGUCCCAAUGGGUUUUCCUUGUAAGGUUUUUAAUGAGGGAGACUCUUCAGAGUUCCAAGCUUGGCUUAGGAUCUCCUAAAGUCAAGCUUGAGGGGGAGUGUUGAACUGAAGAGAAGAUGGAGCUUGUACAAUAAUAGGGCAAGCUCUAGAAGAUGUCAAGAAGAGUUCAAUCAAGCUUCAGAGGUGUUCAGAAGUAGUUAUCUUGUGAAGAUAAGUCUAGGAAAGACUUAGACUGAUCAUGUGAAGGCUUUGGAGGAGUUAGAGAGAAGAUGGUCCAAGGUGCAAUUAUAGGGCGGCCUUGUACGGCCUGGUACGGCCAAGGGUGAACCAAAAGAGAUGGUGGAUCGACCAAAGAAGUGAGAAAGAGUGUUGGGCAAAUAUAGGGCGAGUGGUACGGACAGGAGGUCCGUACCAUCGACCGUACUGCCAAUCAUCUCGCCCACACAUCCGGUUUAAGCAAUGUUGAAGAAGUGCAAAGUCUGGGCGUGCUUAUCUUGGCUAUGAGGACCGUUGGGAGCUACAGGAAACAAAGGGAAUAUCCCUUAGGAUCAGAGUGGUCCAAGAGACAGGCUGGAAAGAGAAAAGCACUUUACCUUUCCAGCCACCUUUCCACACGAGUCCAUCUUAGCCUUUCAUUCAAAAACGGAUCAAUCCCACCUUCCAUUCAGUCAAGGCACGACCACACUUUCCAGCUAGCAUCAAGACCUGUCUACUCUCAUCCUAGCCAUUCAAUCUAUCAUUUAUUUACAGCCUUAGGAUGUAGGGUUUAUGAGUGUAAUGUAAAGGCAUAUAAAAUCCUUGUAUAUGUGAUUGUAAACACUUAAGUGAGUUAGGGGGAAACCCUUCUCCUUCAUAUUCUGGUUACUAAUCUCUCAGUCUCUAAGUCUCUUGUUCUUGUUCUUAGUCUCUCAUACUCAUAUAAUCUGUCUCCUUAAUCCCUCUAUUAAAUCGCCAUAAACAAAUCCUUAUCUCUCUCCAUUGGAGUUGUUUCACACACAAACAUAACCAGAGAUGAGAACUCUAUAAAUCUCACAUGUUGAUGAUAUCAUUAUCACAGGAAGUGAUAAGGAAGGUAUCAUAGCAACCAAGGAGUUCCUUAAAUCAAUGUUUGAGAUUAAAGACUUGGGAGAAAUGAAAUACUUUCUUGGAAUUGAGAUAUGUAGAUCCAAGGAAGGUUUGUUUAUGUCCCAAAAGAAGUAUACACUUGAUCUUUUGAAAGAUGCAGGUGCUUAUGGAGGCAAGACAGCAAGGAUGCCUAUGGAGGAUGGCUACAAAGUCCCACGAGAGGGGGAGAUUGAAGAUAGCAAAUCUUAUCAGGAUUCUAAACUCUAUAGAAAACUAGUUGGCAAAUUGAUUUACCUUACCAUAACUAGACCUGACAUUUGUUUUGCUGUGAAUCAGGUGAGUCAACACAUGCAAGUGCCUAAGGAGCAUCAUUGGCGCAUGGUGGAGAGGAUCUUGAUGUAUCUCAACGGCUCACCUGAUCAGGGAGUAUGGAUGGGUUGCAAUGGGAGCACUGAAGUGGUUGGAUACUGUGAUGCGGAUUGGGCCGGUGAUAGAGCAGACAGGAGGUCGACCACAGGCUAUUGCACAUUCAUUGGAGGGAACUUGGUAACUUGGAAGAGUAAGAAGCAGAAGGUGGUAUCUUGCUCAAGUGCAGAAGCUGAGUAUAGAGCUAUGCUGAAGCUUACCAUUGAGCUGGUGUGGAUCAAAGGCAUCUUGAAGCAUUUGGAGAUUGAUCAAGCCACACCAAUGACCAUGCAUUGUGAUAACCAGGCCGCAAUCCACAUAGCCUCCAACUCAGUGUUCCAUGAAAGAACCAAGCACAUUGAGGUUGAUUGUCACAAGGUGAGGCAGAUGAUUGUCCUAGGAGUCAUCUUGCCAUGCUACACUAGGAGUGAAGAUCAGUUGGCUGAUGUGUUCACUAAGGCUGCAAGACAAAAGACUAUGGAGUCCAUUCAUAUCAGAUUGGGACACAUAGAUCUUGGGAAGAGAAGGAGCUGAUCCCCUUGGCUGUGAGGUCUUUACUCUUUUUCCCUCAUCAAGGUUUUAUCCCAAUGGGUUUUCCUAGGUGAGGUUUUUAAUGAGGAAGAUCUCAUGGCUAUCCAAGCUUAGGCUUUCACAAAGUUAAGCUUGAGGGGGAGUGUUGAGAUGAGGAAGUCAUAUGAUAAGAGGAGAGAAGUUAGGAGAGUAAUGGGAGAGGGAACGGAUGGCAUGUGUACGGACAGUGUACGGCCAGUACGGAUCAUCUCGACCAUCACUACUCUAAAUCUACUUAAGGACACAUUAUGGGUUGUGCAAAGUUAGGGCAUGAAGUGUACUUGGUGGGAGUAUCCGUACAUCUGAGGGAACGUGAAGUGGAAGGAAGAUGGACGAGUGAAGACUCUGAUAUAUGGAGAAGGUUUGAGAACGGAUCAGACCGUUUGGAGAUAAGGUUGAGACGCGCCUUAUGUAUCCAGGCUUGGACAGGCUGUAAAGCCGAAAGCAUGUGAACACCUUGGUCCGUCCAUUUCAAAAGAGCUUCUUCCUUUAGUGUUGACUCCACAUGCUUAGACUAGUGCCUUAUUCUUUACGUGAAAACCCUAGUGCUUCUCCUAUAUAAGUUGUAAACCCAUCUCUUAAUAAGAUCAGACAGUUCUAUCCAAUUAAUCACACUACUCUGUCAUAAUGAUUCCUCACUAGUCAUCUAAUCACAUAAUCAUCUCCUUUAUUCAUCCUAAAUCAUUCUACUCUUUCACAUACAAACUCAGAUUAUCUAAAACUCUUAUUGAUGGAGUAAUAAGGGUAAAGAGGGUGUGAUCAAGCUCUGACUUCCUGAAGCCUCUCCCAUUCGUGUUGUGCUUAGCUUGUUGUACCAUGCUCUAGGUGAUUGUUUUAACCCGUAGAUGGCUUUCUUAAGUCUGAGCACAUUCCCUGACUUCACCAUUCCUUCAAGACCCGGAGGUGGGAGCAUAUAGACCUCAUCUUCUAGCUCUCCUUGGAGGAAGGCAUUCUUUACAUCCAUUUGCCAAAGAUCCCACCCACGGUUAGUCGCCACUGAUAGUACUAUCCGGAUGGUGUGAAGCUUUGCAACAGGAGCAAAGGUAUCAAUGUAGUCCCUCUCCAUAGGUCUGAGUAAAACCUCUAGCCACCAGCCUUGUCUUGCGCCUAUCAAUCUUCCCAUUAGGUAGAUACUUGAUGGUGAAAAUCCACUUGCAUGACACAGCUCUCUUUCCCUUAGGUAACUCACUCUCAUACCAAGUGUCAUUCUUGAUCAUUGCAUUGGAUUCAGCUCUCACUGAUUCCCUCCACUCCUUGUCCUUCAAUCAUUCUUGACCAUGGCAUCAGCCUCAGCAUUGACUGAAUCCCUCCAUUCUUGAAUGAGCACAGCCUCUUCAUAGCUUCUUGGUACAUAGUUCUCAUCUAAGCUCACUAUGAAAGCACAAUGCUUUUCUGGAUACUCAGCAAAGGAACACACGGCUUGGGAAGGAUGCUCCACAGCCUGGGCAUUGUAGUACACUCUCGUGUUUACCCAGUUGGAAGGGUCCCUCUUCUCCCGUGUGCUUCUUCUCAAAGGCACCACCACUUGUUCCUCAAUAGGUUCUUCUUGAAUCUGGUUUUCUUCUCCAGCUUCUUGACCUUCAUUCUGGUUCUCUCUUACUGAUUCCUCUCCACUUUGGACAGGAGAAUCUGAGCCUUGAUUUCCUAGACCUCCAGCUUCACCUGAGCCUUGAUCUCCUAACCCUUCAGCUUCAGAUUCACUUCCCCCCUCAUGUUCAAAGUGGUUUUGUUCUUCAGCGGCAACUGGAGCAGGUUCUGAACGCCUGCUCUGAUCCUGGGACACUCCAAUACCGAGGUCCUCCAGUAUGUUUCUCAAGCUAGCAGCCUGAUCUGAUGGUUGAGAAAGACUUUCAAGCUCCUCCCAAUUCUUCCCAUCAUAAUAUCCUUUUUCCUCCAUAAACUUGACUUCCCGAGACACCAAGACUCUUCUGGCUGUAGGAUCAAAGCACUUGUAUCCCUUUUGGGAUGUAGAAUAGCCAACAAGCAUAGUCUUAGUGCUCUUUGCUUCUAGCUUAUUUCUCAUCUCACCAGGCACCAAUACAUAACAAACACACCCAAAUGUUCUCAAGUGAUUCAAAACUGGCUUGCUUUUGUUGAGUACCUCAAAAGUGUUGAGAUGAGGAAGUCGUUAUGAGAAGGAGAGGAAGAGUUAAGCAAGUAAUGGGAGAGAGUACGGACAGUACGGCCUAGGUACAGACAGUACGGCCUAUGUACGGAUAGGGGGCUUGGCCGUACAUCUGAGGAAACAUGAAGGAAGAAGGAGAUGGGUGAGUAAAGCCUCUAGAGUGUUAGGUUUUAAGAGCUCAGGUUGUGUGUGUGAGAAGAAGCCACUAAGGGCGAAAUGAGAGCUUGAACUGAAGAGAGAAUGGUCUGAUGAAGAACAGUAUGAACUUGGACAGAAACAAGAGAUUUAGAGAGAUUAAGAGAUUUAAGUAUAAGAAAGGGGUAGUUUGAGGGAUUCUUAUCCAAGAACACACUUUGUAUUAUGAAGGAGGAGGGGAAAUCCCCCUCUCUCUCUUAAGAGAGUUACAUUUCGUCCAUACACGUGCCUUAUAUAGGCUUUACAUGUUUGCAACAUCAUAAACCUAAAUCUAAUGGAUAGAAAUGACUUGAGAUGAAUUGAUGGCUAGGAUGGAGUUGUCUUGUUUGCAAUCUGAGUGAAUUGAUCUGAUUGGAGUAGAGAAUGCUGGCUGGUGAUUGGUUGAUUCAAACUGGUCAAAGGCAAGGGCCGGCUUCUUAUUGGCUUCCCAAAGGCUCCCAUGAAUCUGCCCACAUAAGUGUCUUGAUUCAUGGUCCCCUCUUGGCUUUCUCUUUACACCUCAUGACAGCCUGUCCUUGGACCAGCUACACUCUCUUUCCCUUAUCCAUAAACGUCCAUAUGAGAGGAUAAGGGUGCCUGAUGCUUGUCUGAACCAUCUCCCUAUGUUUGCACAGCUUCUGGUCGAUCCCGGGUGAAGUACAGUCGAUGGUACGGACCGCCUGUCCGUACCUCGCCCUAUUCUUGCACAACCCAUUCAAGUAUCUCCAAUGGUUGAUCCUGACUUAAUAUUGGUCGCCCUAAGUUCGUACGUACCAUCCGUACCGAUGCUCGACCCUAUUUCUGCAACAUCACCCAACUGACUUCAAAUGGUGUCUAAGUAUGCCUAAGUCCUUCCUGGACUUAACCCUAACUUUACACACUUCAUUUGGAUACUUCUGGACACUCCUGAACACUCCUAAAGCCUUGAUAGACAAUCUCCGGAGGUCUUGCCCUAUUCUCGCUCAAGACCCAAACUCAACCCAACUCCUCUUUUGGCUCCAUUUCUUUCUUCAAGUCAACAUAGAGUACACAUAAGGUUUCAAGACUGAUCAGACCGUUUAGGGAUAAGGGCGGGAUGAGCCUUAUCCAUCCAGGCUUUGGACAGGCUGUAAAGGCAAAGCAUGUGAGCUUUGCCAUCCGUUGAAUUCAAAAGAGACGCUCCCCCCUUUGGUUUGACUUCACAUGCUUAUGACUAGUGCUGUUUUCUCUUUACUUGUAAACCCUAAUGCCUCUUCUAUAAAUAUUGUAACCCCAUCUCAGAAUAAGAUUAGACAGUUCUUGACACCAAAACACUCUCUUAGACUCAAAGACUCUCAAUCAUGAUUAUACACUAAACUCUUAGCUAAACUCGUCCCAAAUCACCUCUAGACUCUUUCUAAUCUUUUUCUUUCCUUAUAUCAAACUCAGAUUCUCUAAAUCUCACAUGGUAUCAGAGCCAGGUUCAUCAUAAUCUGGGUUUGAGUACUAGAACACUCAAGAACACACUAGCCGCUUAGCUUUCAUCCGGGUGAGUCUGAAAUGGAAAGCAACAAGGCAGUGGUUCCGGUUACUCUCAAGGGGGGUAACUAUCUUUUGUGGUCUCGUUUGGUGAAGACUGCAGUGGGGAGUAAGGGUUUAUGGGGACACAUCACGCAAAGUGGAGCCCCAAAGCUCAUUACUUAUGAAGGCGACAAGGAGGUCGUCGAGUGUGAUGAAGAGAAGUGGGAGCAGGAAGAUCAGCUGGUGAUGUCCAUACUCCAACGGUCUCUUGAAGUGUCUAUCCUGGAGGCUUACAGCUACUAUGAGACAGCAAAGGAUCUUUGGGACACGUUGAAGAAGGUUUAUGGUAACAUCUCAAACUUGAGCCGUGUGUUUGAAGUGAAACGUGCUAUCAACAGCUUGACGCAUGAAGACAUGGAGUUUACAAAGCACCUUGGGAAGUUCAGAGCUUUGUGGUCCGAGCUGGAAAUGCUGAGGCCAGGCACAACCAACCUAGAUGAGCUAGCUGAGAGACGCGAGCAAGAUAAGGUGUUUGGGUUGCUGCUCACGCUGAAUCUGAGCUACAACAGCCUCAUCAAACACAUCCUGAGGUCCGGAAAGCUACCUAGCCUUGAAGAAGUGUGUGCACGAGUUCAGAUGGAGGAAGGUUCUAUUGGUCUCUUUGGAGGGAAAGGAGAGAUCACACUUGCAAACCAAGCUGAGGUUCCGCAAGCAAACCGUGCAAGCUCUAGCCAGUAUGAUGGAAAGAAGUUUACGGGAAAUUGUGAUCACUGCAAGAGACAAGGACACAAGAAGAACCAGUGCUGGAUAUUGCAUCCUCACCUGAAGCCGGCUAAGUUCUCAAGAGAGAAAGAUGGGAGAGCCAAUGUCACGUAUGCUUUAAGUGAGCCGGGAAGUUCAAGUGUGGCUGGGAGCUCAGGCCAAGCUGGAGAGAGCAGUGUACGUGAGCUUGGAGACAGCAAGGCACUGGUGACUUACACAGCUCAACCAAGCCAUCAGAGCAUUCAUGAGCAUGAGUAUCUGAGGAGAUCAGACCUUGGUUCCCUCAUUAAAAUGCUAACGGAGAAUGGCAACACACUUGGUACUCUUGGUUACUCUUUUGGUGCAUCAUAUGAACCGUGUAGCAUUGCUAGAGAACCUGAUCAGUCAAGCAUUGCUUAUAAACCUACUAGCAUACUAGGACAGUCUCAUAUUGCACACUACCUGUUUAAACCAUUGAUAGUUGAUUCAAGAGCAUCUCAUCAUAUGAUUAGUGAUACUAGUUUGAUUAGAGACAUUGAACCUACUAAUGGACAUGUAAUGAUUGCAAAUGGGGAUAAAAUCCCAAUUAGAGGAAUUGGCAAGCUGAAAUUGUUUGAUAAAGAAUCUAAAGCCUUCUAUAUGCCUGACUUCACAUCAAAUCUUUUAUCUGUAAAGAAAUGCACUAAUGAUCUUAAUUGCAAUGUUAUAUUCAGUCCUAAUGAUGUGAAGUUUCAGGAUAUUGAGAGCAGCUAAUUGAUUGGAAAAGGAGUUACCAAAGGAGAUUUAUACUUACUUGAAGAACUAGCUCCUGUUUCUGAUUACUUAUGCUCAUUUACCUCUGAGUCUAUGAUGAAUAAAAAUGCAUUGUGGCAUGCUAGACUAGGUCAUCCCCAUGUUAGGGCUUUAAACUUAAUGUUACCAGGUGUGGUAUUUGAAAAUAGGGAUUGUGAAGCUUGCAUUUUAGGCAAGCAUUGUAAAACUGUGUUUCCCAUUUCAUCUACUGUUUAUGACAAAUGCUUUGAUUUGAUUCACUCUGAUGUUUGGACUGCUCCUUGCUUGUCUAGGGAUAGUUUUAGAUACUUUGUCACAUUCAUAGAUGAAAAAUCGAAAUACACCUGGAUAACACUAAUUCAAACCAAAGAUAGGGUGCUUGAAGCUUUUAAAAAUUUUCAAAACUAUGUGACUAACCAUUACAAUGCCAAGAUUAAAAUUUUGAGAUCAGAUAAUGGUGGGGAAUACACUGGUCAAGCCUUCAAGCAACAUCUAGCACAACAUGGGAUACUACACCAAACGAGUUGUCCUUAUACUCCUCAGCAAAAUGGAGUGGCUGAGAGAAAGAAUAGGCAUCUCAUGGAGGUGGCAAGGUCAAUGAUGUUUCAAGCAAAUGUUCCUAAGAGGUUUUGGAGUGAUGCUGUGGCUACAUCUUGUUAUCUAAUCAACCGGAUCCCAACUAAGAUUCUACAUGAUCAGUCACCUUUUGAAGCCUUGAACAAGUACAAGCCAUCAUUGGAGCAUAUGCGAAUCUUUGGAUGUCUAUGCUUUGUCCUUAGGCCAAAAGAGUUGAGAAACAAGCUUUAAGCAACCAGCACAAGAGCUAUGUUUGUUGGCUUCUCUACUACUCAAAAGGGUUACAAGUGCUAUGAUCCUACUACUCGAAGAGUUCUAGUCUCUAGAGAUGUAAAGUUCAUUGAAGCUAAGGGGUUCUAUGAGGAAAAGAAUCAAGAUGAGCUGCUAGAGUUGACAAGAGAGUCAGAUAGAGCGGCCAGCCUUAGAAGUAUUCUAGAGGGGCUUGGGAUACAUACUACCCAGGAUCCGAAGGAGAGACGCAGUACAACAACCACACAACCUACCGAGGCAUCAAAUGUAGAUCAUGGGGGGGAAAACACACCUGAACCAGCUGAAGUACAUGUUGAAAGCCAUGAUCAAGAAGGCUCAGGUGAUCAUGAUAAAAGUAUGAUGCAGGAAGAUAGGGAGGUACCAAGCCAAGAUCAAGAGGAGGAAACUAAUGCAACUACAACUGAACCUGAACCAGAGCCGGCGGUGCAGCCAUUGAGAAGAAGCACCAGAGUGAGAAAGGAUAGUUCCAACUGGGUAAACACGAGAGUGUACUACAAUGCCCAGGCUGUGGAACAUCCCUCUCAAGCUGUGUAUUCCUUUGCUCAUUAUCCAGAAGAACAUUGUGCCUUUAUGGUAAGCUUAGAUGAGAGCCAUGUACCAAAGUCAUAUGAGGAAGCCAUGAAGGACAAGGAGUGGAGGGAAUCAGUGAGAGCUGAAUCCAAUGCAAUGAUCAAGAAUGACACUUGGUAUGAGAGUGAGUUACCUAAAGGAAAGAGAGCAGUGUCUAGUAGAUGGAUCUUUACAAUCAAGUACCAAGCAAAUGGACAGAUUGAUAGAAAGAAGACUCGUUUGGUUGCAAGAGGAUUCACUCAAACAUAUGGAGAGGAUUAUAUAGACACAUUUGCGCCAGUUGCUAAGCUACAUACCAUCAGGAUUGUCCUAUCACUUGCGGUGAAUCUUGAGUGGGGCUUGUGGCAAAUGGAUGUAAAGAAUGCAUUCCUACAAGGAGAACUAGAAGAUGAAGUGUAUAUGUUACCUCCUCCUGGUCUAGAGCACUUAGUGAAGAAAGGGAAUGUUCUCAGACUAAAGAAAGCUAUCUAUGGUCUGAAACAAUCACCAAGGGCAUGGUACAACAAGUUGAGCACAACUCUGAAUGGAAGAGGCUUUAGGAAGUCAGAGCUUGAUCAUACUCUCUUUACACUCAACACACCUUCAGGUAUUGUCGUUCUACUUGUAUAUGUAGAUGACAUCAUUAUAACAGGUAGUGAAAAAGAAGAGAUACAAGCCACUAAAGACUUUCUUAAAUCUGUUUUUGAGAUUAAAGACUUAGGAGAGAUGAAAUACUUCCUUGGGAUUGAGAUAUGUAGAUCUAAGGAAGGUUUGUUUCUAUCCCAAAGAAAGUAUACACUUGAUCUAUUGAAAGAUGCAGGUAAGCUUGAUGGAAAGACGGCCAAGACUCCCUUGGAAGAUGGAUACAAGGUUCCACGUGAGGGGGAGAUUGAAGACAGUCCACCAUUCAAGGAUGCAAAGCUUUAUAGAAAGCUAGUGGGUAAGCUCAUAUACCUAACCAUCACACGUCCUGAUAUUUGUUUUGCUGUGAAUCAGGUGAGUCAGCAUAUGCAAGUUCCAAAAGAACAUCAUUGGGGAAUGGUGAACCGGCUCUUGAUGUAUCUUAAUGGCUCAGCUGAUCAAGGAGUGUGGAUGGGGUGUAAUGGGAGUACUGAAGUUGUAGGCUACUGUGAUGCAGAUUGGGCAGGAGAUAGAGCAGAUAGAAGGUCCACAACCGGCUACUGCACAUUCAUUGGAGGGAACUUAGUAACUUGGAAGAGUAAGAAGCAGAAGGUGGUCUCAUGCUCAAGUGCUGAAGCUGAAUACCGAGCCAUGCUGAAGCUGACUAAUGAGCUUGUAUGGAUCAAAGGGAUACUGAAGCACUUGGAAAUUAUUCAAUCCACUCUAAUGACCAUGCAUUGCGACAACCAGGCUGCUAUACACAUUGCCACCAACUCAGUCUUCCAUGAGAGAACCAAGCACAUUGAAGUAGAUUGUCACAAGGUGAGGCAAAUGAUUCUUCUUGGAGUCAUCUUACCAUGUUACACACGAAGUGAAGAUCAGCUAGCAGAUGUGUUCACAAAGGCAGCAAGGCAGAAGACAAUUGAGUCCAUUCAUAGCCGGCUAGGACUCAUUGAUCUCACAAGAAGGAGCUAAGCCCCUUAGCUAUGAGGUCUUUACUCUUUUCCUUAUCAAAGUUUUGUCCCAAUGGGUUUUCUUUGGUAAGGUUUUUAAUGAGGAAGAUCUCAUGGCUAUCCAAGCUUAGACUUUCACAAAGCUAAGCUUGAGGGGGAGUUUUGAAAUGAAGUCAUGAGAUAAUGAGGCUAAGAUAGAGUAAAGGAAAGGAAAUAGGAGAGUUGGAGUCGACCCAAGCCGUACCAUCCGUACUGACCGUACAGGCCGUACCGGUUAAAGUCACCCACACCUCGACCAGAUUGAAGUUACCAUGAUCAAGUAACUUAAGAGUGAAAGGAGAAGUUACUUGGGGUAACUACUGGCUCGUGUGACCGUUUGGAGAGGAUAAGGAAGAGCUUAGCCAGGCUGUCAAGAGCUGGAUAAGGCUAAAGGUGCUUUAUCACAAAGGAGAAGCUUAUUGGAGAGUUUAAAUUAAAGCAACUCCUUAUCCCUUACAAUAGUGACCAUUUGCGAAACCCUUAACCUAUUGUAGCCUCUCUAUAUAUUGUAGACACUCAUGAUUAAUAAGAUCAGACAGUUCUUGACACCAAAACACUCUCUUAGACUCAAAGUCUCUCAAUCAUGAUCAUACACUAAACUCUUAGCUAAACUCGUCCUAAAUAACCUCUAGACUCUUUCUAAUCUCUUUCUUCCCUUAUAUCAAACUCAGAUUCUCUAAAACUUAUACUCUACAGCAUCAACUGAGACCCCCUCUUGGUCUUCUUCCUGAGUAAUGAGCUUUGGAGCUUCACCGGUUGUGAUAUGACUCCACAAGCCCUUACUCGCAAUGGUUGUCUUCACCAGCCGGGACCAAACCAAGUAGUUGCUUCCCUUGAAGGUAAUCGCCACUUUCAUCUUCAUGUUCUCCAUAUUGUCACAGCUUAACUUCAAAAACUUGAGAGAGAUGGAGCUUUGAACGGAUGACUCUUGUAUGAAUGGAUCUUAACUUGUUUAGAACUCGCGCACACACCAAAUGAACACCCUUGAGCUUUGAUCUUCCUCGGAUGGCUUCAAAGCUUCACCUUUGUUCUUCAGUGUCUCAAAAUAAGAACGCAGAUUCUUUGGAACCUGGCUCUGAUACCAUAAGAGUUUUAGAUAAUCUGAGUUUGUAUGUGAAAGAGUAGAAUGAUUUAGGAUGAAUAAUGGAGAUGAUUAUGUGAUUAGAUGACUAGUGAGGAAUCAUUAUGAAAGAGUAGUGUGAUUAAUUGGAUAGAACUGUCUGAUCUUAUUAAGAGAUGGGUUUACAACUUAUAUAGGAGAAGCACUAGGGUUUUCACAUAAAGAAUAAGGCACUAGUCUAAGCAUGUGGAGUCAACACUAAAGGAAGAAGCUCUUUUGAAAUGGACGGACCAAGGUGUUCACAUGCUUUCGGAUUUACAGCCUGUCCAAGCCUGGAUAGAUAAGGCGCGUCUCAACCUUAUCUCCAAACGGUCUGAUCCGUUCUCAAACCUUCUCCAUAUAUCAGAGUCUUCACUCGUCCAUCUUCCUUCCACUUCACGUUCCCUCAGAUGUACGGAUACUCCCACCAAGUACACUUCAUGCCCUAACUUUGCACAACCCAUAAUGUGUCCUUAAGUAGAUUUAGAGUAGUGAUGGUCGAGAUGAUCAGUAUUGGCCGUACACUGACCGUACUGUCCGUACACAUGCCAUCCGUUCCCUCUCCCAUUACUCUCCUAACUUCUCUCCUCUUAUCAUAUGACUUCCUCAUCUCAACAAUCAGGAAUCAUUGUUCUGCUUGUGUAUGUGGAUGAUAUCAUCAUAACAGGCAGUGAUAAGGAAGGAAUCAAAGCCACCAAGGAAUUCCUGAAGUCAGUCUUUGAUAUAAAGGACUUGGGAGAGAUGAAGUACUUCUUUGGGAUUGAGUUAUGUAGAUCAAAGGAAGGAUUGUUUAUCUCUCAAAGAAAGUAUGCAUUGGAUCUCUUGAAGGAUGCUGGUGCUUAUGGAGGGAAAAUAGCCAAAAUGCCCAUGGAGGAUGGGUAUAAGAUUCCACGUGAGGGGGAGCUAGAAGAUAGCAAGCUGUUCCAUGAUCCAAAGCUGUAUAGAAAGCUUGUGGGGAAGCUGAUAUACUUAACCAUCACACGGCCAGACAUUUGCUUUGCUGUGAAUCAAGUAAGCCAGCAUAUGCAAGCUCCAAAGGAGCAUCACUGGCGCAUGGUUGAGAGAGUUCUCAUGUACUUGAAUGGAACUCAAGGGCUUGGUAUAUGGAUGGGUUGCAAUGGAAGCACUGAAGUUGUGGGUUAUUGUGAUGCCGAUUGGGCAGGUGAUAGAGCAGAUAGAAGGUCUACAACAGGCUACUGCACAUUCCUUGGAGGAAACAUGAUUACGUGGAAGAGUAAGAAGCAAAAGGUGGUAUCAUGCUCUAGUGCUGAAGCUGAGUAUAGAGCUAUGCUUACGCUCACCAACGAGUUGGUGUGGAUCAAGGGGAUCCUAAAUCAUUUGGAGAUUGAGCAAGCGACACCAAUGACCAUGCAUUGUGACAAUCAAGCGGCCAUUCACAUUGCUACCAACUCAGUGUUUCAUGAGAGAACAAAGCACAUUGAAGUAGACUGCCACAAGGUAAGGCAGAUGAUAGUCUUAGGGGUGAUCUUGCCAUGUUACACAAGGAGUAAAGAUCAGUUGGCAGAUGUAUUCACCAAGGCAGCUAGGCAAAAGAUCAUGGAGUCUAUACACAUCAGGUUAGGACUCAUUGAUCUUUCAUCUAAGGGCUAAUCUACACACUCUCCUGAUCAUGAGGUCUUUACUCUUUUUCCCUCAUCAAAGUUUUGUCCUAAAUGGGUUUUCUUUGGUGAGGUUUUUAAUGAGGGAGAGCUCAUGGUCCUUCCAAGCUUUGACUUGUUCCACAUGGUCAAGCUUGAGGGGGAGUGUUGAGAUAAGCAGAAUAAUAUAUGAGAAGAGGUGUCUUGAGUAUUGGAGAGAAGAUGAGAUGAUGAGGGAAAGAAGAGAAGAAAUGCCGUAGGGCGAUCCGUUCUUACCAGGCCAUAAGGAAAGAGGAGAAGAAAUGCCUUAGGGCGAUCCGUUCUUACCAGGCCGUACAUGGCCGUACGGUUCAUGCGAAUAGUAGUCGACCCAAACUCGACCUAAGAAGAAAAGAAGUUACCAAGGUAGAAAGGUAAGUCGACCAGAGUUACUGAGAGACUUAACCCUAUCCUAUCUGACCGUUGGAAGAAAGGAGAGAGCAUCUAGACAGGCUGGCUCAGCCUGGAUGGAUAAGGUUCUUCCUUUGGUACAUGUGAAGCUUCUGAUUGGUCCUAGUUUGAAUUAAAGCAACCUUAUCCUUUGACUUUGUUAACUUGAAGAAAAGAAAUGGUGUCAAAGGAGAAGUAUGGAGGAGUUUGGGUCUGGUUCAAAGAUAGGACAAGUCUUAUAAAGAUUGUCUAUCAAGCUUCAGAAGUGUCUGAUGAGCUCCAGAAGUGUUCUAAGGGCUGUGCAAAGAUAGGGCCAAGUCCAGGAGGGACUUAGAAGAUGGUUUAGGCACAAAUGACAUCAUGUCCCUUGAUUCAAACUGAAGUGAUCCCAUCCAUUCAAGCCAGCCUGUCCGAGCUGUAUCUUCAGCCAAUAAGGAGACAUCACUCAGAUUACAUUGACCAGCCCAAGACUCAAUCCUAGGCGUCCAUAUUCUAAAGCAAGUUCAACCAUUAGAUGUAGGUUUAUGAUUUGUAACCUGCAUUGUAUUUAAAGACCCUAAAGGGGCGUUUUUGUAUCUCCUAAGGGAGUAAGGGGGGAUUUCCCCUCUCCACUUCAUGAAUGAUAAACUUGUUCUUGAAUCUGAAACCCUAAUCUCUAAUCUCUUAUUCUCCUAAUCUCCCAGUCUCUUAAUCUCUGUUCCUAAGUCUCUUAUUCUCUCAUAAACAUUCUCAUCAAUCUCUCUUUCUAAAUUACCUAGAGCAAGCUCUCAUCUUUCUCCAUUAGAGUUUAUACACACACACAUACAACCAGAGAAGAGAACUCUACAAAUUUCAUAUGGUAUCAGAGCCAGGUUCAUCAGAACCUGAGCUGUGGACUUGCGGAGCUGAAGCUUCCGCAAGUCCACAGCUCACGCCUCAGCUCAAAACUAAACCAUUGAACCUUUCCCAUCCAGUUCAGUCCCUUGUAAAGAAGAAGGCUGAAGCUUGGCGAGUUCCCUUGGUUCCUCAUCCUGUUCUCUACCUGCUCAGAUGGAGAUUAUCCUUGGAGGCAAAGGUGUAUGGAGAGGCCUAACUAACCUGACUCCAAGUCUCCUUGUCCAAGAGAAGUUUCACAUCAGGCUACAAGAGUAUGGUGUCAAGAGCUUGGCACCUAGAUGUUCUGAAGAAAGGAGGGGUCUUUUGAGUUGAUGGUACAAGAUGGUGGCCAUGAACUGAAGGAGAAGGAGGUGGGUGAUGAUCCAGACUCUCAGUUCCAACAACAGUCAUGGCCGGUUUCACAAAAUGCAAAAGGAAUCAACCUGGUUCCUUGUUGUAAGCGAUUCUAUAAACCAUCUUGAUAAUGAGCUUGUGUUGUUGACUGGUUGUGAUGAUGUGAUGUGAUUGAAAACCUGAGGAUUGUUUAAAAGAUUACUAAAUGAAAUAAAAUGAAUUUAGAAUCUGUCCCAGGAUACUUAAAGAGCUUGGCUUCCUAGUAAUCCAAAAAUCUUACUAAUUAUACUAGGCUUACUAGCAGCAGUGUAAGCGCAUUUAAAAAUGUCUAGUAACUUAUAAGUAUUACUAGGAUUACUAGAUAUGUUAAUAUGCUUAGCUCCGGUUCAUAAUGAUGCUUGUUGUGAUUGAUUGAAUCUGCUUGCAUACAUGGAUUGAAACCGAAUUGAAAGCUGUUGCAUAUAGUCUUGUGGCUGUCUUACAUUGAAGCAUUAGAUUCAUGUCUAAAUGCUGAGGAAAGAAGCUUUAAAAAUGUCUAAGUAGCUUGCAUAAAUCUAAAAAGAAAGUGCUUGUGCUUAGAGAGAUUGCUUGCAAAGAUAGAACUUGAAAAUGACUUGUUUUAAUCUAUUGCAAUGCUAGUGAGAUUGGGAAUCAAACUUGAUGAUUAAUCAAGGAUUGAUCCCAAUACUCUUGUGUCUUAUCCUUGCUAGAGUUUGAGUGGUGUUUCAGGUUCACAAGAAGUGUUCUUUGCCCACCACCUAUCCAAGACAAGAGGAAGACUUGAACCAUUGUGUGGAGCAAUGGGAAGAUACUUGUGUGUAGAAGCUGGUUUAAGAAGCGCAGGCCACGAGGUUGUUGAGCUCCUGGUUCAAGACAUACAAGCGGAAGACUUGACCAUUGUGUGGAGCAAUGGGAAGGUUCUUGUGUGUAGAAGCCGGUUUAAGAAGCGCAGGCCACAAGGUUGUUGAGCUCCAGGUUCAAGACACACAAGAAGAAGAAGGUCACCACCUAAGCCAUGAGGAAGGCCGGUGAUCUGAGGGUACUUGAAGCUGAAGGCAAAAGAGUGGAUCAGUGAUUUAAGCGCAGCUGUUAAGGUGAUGUGCUCCUGGUCUUGAAGUUCAUUGAGGCUCAUUUCAAGCUUGGAUCUCCCCUAUACUCGGUCUCAAGCUUGCGGUGGGUAUUCAAAUGAGCAACCUGAAGAGCCAAAGUUCAAGACAUGUUUCCUCCUUAUCAUUACAAGAGAAUGAUAAGAUGAAGCCCGUUGCCAACAUUCUGUGGAGAAGUCCACAGCCUGCUCCAAAGAGGGUAGAGAGGAUGUUGUGACAAUGGAGAAAUGAAGCCUAUUGCCAACAUUCUGUGGGAAGUCCACAGCCUGCUCCAAAGAGGGUAGAGAGGAUGUUGUGACAAUGGAGAAAUGAAGCCUAUUGCCAACAUUCUGUGGGAAGUCCACAGCCUGCUCCAAAGAGGGUAGAGAGGAUGUUGUGACAAUGGAGAAAUGAAGCCUAUUGCCAACAUUCUGUGGGAAGUCCACAGCCUGCUCCAAAGAGGGUAGAGAGGAUGUUGUGACAAUGGAGAGAUGACUUGCGGUUCUGUCCAUGGUGGUUGAAUCACCAUAGCCUACACAUCAGAUGAGUGUAGAGAGGACAGUAGACAUGCAAGGAAGAACAUCACCAGGAGGGUGAUGCAAUUAAGACCAAGACCAUUGCAAGCUGAUCAUGGAGUGAUCUAGCCGAAGUAGAGGGAAAAAGAAAGCUACUCAAUAAACUUCUGGUGUGAGAUGCUUAGAGAGUGAGCUGAGGUAUCUCCUCAGUGCAAUGGUGGUUAAGUGGGGCUGUAAGCAUCAAGUCUGAAGAAGAUGGAGGUGUUCCCGCAAUAAUAAUCAUGGAGCUUAGUAUGUGCUCACCUUCAAGCUUGGAUCUUCCCUAUACUCGGUCUCAAGCUUGAGGGGGAGUGUUGUUGAGCUUGCAUGAUAAGAGAAGGAGCUGAUAAGCUCAGCAAGUGAGGGGUUCAAGUGGUGUGUGAAGAGCAGCCACUCCUCACCAAAGCAAAAGGAGCUAGGCAUGUCUUACCUGAUGGAGAUGGCAAGAAGCCACGAGAAAAGGGAAGACUCAGGCCGGUCCAGUCACUCCUCACGAAAGAAAAAGGGAAGUUUCCCUUAACUCAAUUCAAUUCAUCAUUGUCAACAUAUCUAGUAAUCUAUCAAGAAUACUAGUUUUACUAAAGAAGAGUUGUUAAGCCUCAUUUGAAUUCGUUAGGAAUACUAGUUUUACUAGACGGUAACAUAUCUAGUAAUAUAUAAGGAAUACUAGUCUUACUAAGACGGUCAAUAAACAUGAAUUGAUUGAGUUAUGUUCUUUGAUAAGUACUAAUACACUUGUGGAAUAAUGUAUCAGGUACCUUACUUGGAGACUCAACAGAGAGGAUCAGGUCGCUCCUAGCCUUUCAAGAUGGCAUGGAGUCCGGUGAAAGGGGGAGAUACUAAACCGGUUCUAUAGAAGAGUCCAAGAAGGUGUGUAAAGUGUGCGCAAGCCUUGAAGUGUUGCUGCACCUGGUUAGGCCGUGAUCCAGAGCUUCUUGUAUCAAACCACACUGGUUCUAAGGCACAAGAGCUCACUGGCCAAUCCCUAGGCCCUGUUGGCUCUACUCUUUUUCCCUUAUCAAGGUUUUGUCCCAAAGGGUUUUCCUUGGUGAGGUUUUUAAUGAGGGAGUUCUUCAAGGUUCCAAGCUUGACUUAGGAUCACCUAGAUAAGCCCUCAAGGUAACAUCUUCUUGUUACCGUUUCACUUGGUCGAGGUUGGGUAACUUCUGGUUGAGACAUUUGGUACGGACGGUACGGCCAUGUACGGCCUUGUACGGCCGUCCGUACCAUGCUUGCCCAAAGUCCCCUCAUUCUCUUUCUCCUCUUCUCUUCAACUCCUUAUCUCUUCAUAUCCAUAUACUCAACUCAUCUCAACAAUAGCAACACUCAGAACUGGACUGAGUCAAGACAAGUAGAUUUCAAUCUCUAACAAUGACAAUACAAGUUCUAGACACUACAUUGACAUCCUAGGUUAUUAUGAUUAUUAAGUUCUCUAAAUGCAAUGCAAGCUUACAUCAGUACAUUUGAAAUUUAGGCUCAUUUUUAAAUGCAUUACUACAUGAAUGCACAAUCUUAAAUCAUUACCUAUAUGAAUGCAACAGGUUCAAUCCAUGAUUAAUAUUAAAGCUAUGCACAACAGUUUCAAUCAGAACCAAUGAUGCAAGCAACUUAGACAAUUUCUAAUUGAUGCAAGACUUUCAUUGAUGGAUUAAACAUAGGCAAUAACAUCAGAUAACACUAGGAUUGAACUUAGACAGUAUGAGAUAUGCUUAUGUAUGCAAAAUAACUUAUCAAUCAUGAUGCAAGUAGCAGAGACAUUCUACUCAAUUCUACAACACAUUCAUGAUGAUUCAAGUUUAUGACCACACCCAAGACAAUGCAAUAAACAGACCGUGAGAUUCUGGGACUCUAGACAUCACUUACUAUCAAUAAGAUAUAAGAUUUAAGGAUGUAAAUGAUUAUCUGAGUUUAGAAAGGAUUAUAGAAGGAGAAUAAGAGAUUAAGAGACAGCUUAGAGACUAAUGGAGAAUCAUAAUGAAAUGAGUAAAGAGAGAGAUUGUUUAGAACUGUCUAAUCUUUAUUAAUGAUGAGCUCACAAUAUAUAUAGGUCCAUACACAUUAGGUUUUCGAAAUCAUAAGGAUAAGCAAGCAUGUAGAGUCAAAGAUGAGCUGGUGCUUUAGUUUGAAUCGGCCAAUGAGUGUCCUCACACGUUUGGAGCAUCUUCCUUAUCCAAGAGUAGAUGCUCUUCCUUUCCUGCCCUUGCCAUCCUGUCCUAGCUGUCAAGCCGCGCCUCCCUUAUCCUCUCAACGUUCGGAUAAGGCCUUGGCCGAGUGUAACUUCACCUCAGUACAUAAGAGUUACCCGGAUAGUUACUUGGCCGCUUUCACCUUGUACGGACGCUCACUUGUACGGCCUGGUACGGCCUCUCCGUCCGUACCAUCCCUAUCAGCCCAUUCCUCCUCUUAACUCCUUGCUCUCCUUAUGUUCUCAACUCCUUUGUGUCUUUACCUCAAAUGUCUCAACUCAUCUCAACACUCCCCCUCAAGCUUAGCUUUGUGAAAGCCUAAGCUUGGAUAGCUAUGAGAUCUUCCUCAUUAAAAACCUCACCAAGGAAAACCCAUUGGGACAAAACCUUGAUGAGGGAAAAAGAGUAAAGACCUCACAGCCAAGGGGAUCAGCUCCUUCUCUUCCCAAGAUCAAUGAGGCCCAACCUGAUGUGAAUGGACUCCAUUGUCUUUUGUCUUGCAGCCUUGGUGAACACAUCAGCCAACUGAUCUUCACUCCUCGUGUAGCAUGGUAAGAUGACUCCUAGGAUGAUCAUUUGCCUCACCUUGUGGCAAUCAACUUCAAUGUGCUUGGUUCUCUCAUGAAACACCGAGUUGGAGGCAAUGUGAAUGGCUGCUUGGUUAUCACAGUGCAUUGUCAUAGGCGUGGCUUGAUCAAUCUCCAAAUGCUUCAAGAUGCCUUUGAUCCACACCAGCUCGUUGGUAAGUUUCAGCAUAGCUCUAUACUUUGCUUCUGCGCUUGAGCAAGAGACCACCUUCUGCUUCUUACUCUUCCACGUAACCAAGUUGCCUCCAAUGAAUGUGCAAUAGCCUGUGGUUGAUCUCCUGUCUGCUCUAUCACCAGCCCAAUCCGCAUCACAGUAUCCAACCACUUCAGUGCUCCCAUUGCAACCCAUCCAUACUCCUUGAUCAGGUGAGCCGUUGAGAUACAUCAAGAUCCUCUCCACCAUGUGCCAAUGAUGCUCCUUAGGAACUUGCAUGUGUUGACUCACCUGAUUCACAGCAAAACAAAUGUCAGGUCUAGUUAUGGUAAGAUAAAUCAAUUUGCCAACUAGUUUUCUAUAGAGUUUAGGAUCCUGAUAAGGUUUGAUGUCUUCAAUCUCCCCCUCUCGUGGGACUUUGUAACCAUCCUCCAUAGGCAUCCUUGCUGUCUUGCCUCCAUAAGCACCUGCACCUUUCAAAAGAUCAAGUGUAUACUUCCUUUGGGACAUGAAUAAACAUUCCUUGGAUCUACAUAUCUCAAUUCCAAGAAAGUAUUUCAUUUCUCCCAAGUCUUUAAUCUCAAACAUGGAUUUAAGGAACUCCUUGGUUGCUAUGAUACCUUCCUUAUCACUUCCUGUGAUAAUGAUAUCAUCAACAUACACAAGAAGUGCAAUCAUACCUGAGGAAGUCGUGAGUGUGAAGAGAGUGUGAUCUAGUUCAGACUUCUUGAAGCCUCGGCCAUUCAGAGUAGUGCUCAGCUUGUUGUACCAAGCUCUUGGUGAUUGCUUCAGCCCAUAGAUAGCUUUCUUCAAUCUCAACACAUUCCCUCUCUUCACUAAGUGUUCAAGGCAUGGAGGUGGAUGCAUAUAUACUUCAUCCUCAAGUUCACCAUGUAGAAAUGCAUUCUUCACAUCCAUUUGCCAUAACCCCCAUCCAAGAUUCACAGCCAAGCUUAAUACAAUCCGGAUUGUAUGUAGUUUAGCUACUGGUGCAAAGGUUUCUAUGUAAUCUUCUCCAUAAGUUUGAGUGAAACCUCUUGCUACUAGCCUUGACUUCUUCCUCUCAAUCUUUCCAUCAGCCUUAUACUUGAUUGUGAAUAUCCAUCUACUACUCACAGCCUUCUUCCCUUUUGGUAACUCACUCUCAUACCAUGUAUCAUUUUUGAUCAUAGCUCCUGCCUCAACUCCAACUGAUUCCUUCCAUUCUUUAUCCAUGAUUGCUUCUUCAUAGCUUCUUGGAAUAUAGUUCUCAUCCAAGUUAACCAUGAAUGCACAAUGUUCUUCAGGGUAUUGGGCAAAGGAACACACAACUUGAGAAGGAUGCUCCACAGCUUGGGCAUUGUAGUACACUCGCGUGUUUACCCAAGAGGAAGGAUCCUUUCUAAGCCUUGUGCUUCUCCUCAAUACUGGUUGUUCUUGCUCUUGAACCGGCUCAGCUUGUGUAUGCGGUUCUUGUGCUUCACUCUGAUGUUCUUCAUCUCCUUGGUCUUGCUCACCUUGAUGAUGAGAACCUGAGUUAAAUUCUUCUCCUUCUUCACUCAAGCCGACUCCUUCUUGGCCAUUUUCUUGAGUUUCAGGUUCACUUCCCCCCUCAUGAUCAAGGUGAGGUGUUUGAGCAGCUCUACUUGGUUCAGUUGAGCUCUCUUCCGGUUGUCCACUUCUUGUGGACUGAUCCUGGUUCAUCUUGAUACCGAGACCUUCCAAAAUAAUCCUUAAGUCUUCUUGAUUCUUCUCUUCAUAGUUACCCGGAUAGUUACUUGGCCGCUUUCACCUUGUACGGACGCUCACUUGUACGGCCUGGUACGGCCUCUCCGUCCGUACCAUCCCUAUCAGCCCAUUCCUCCUCUUAACUCCUUGCUCUCCUUAUGUUCUCAACUCCUUUGUGUCUUUACCUCAAAUGUCUCAACUCAUCUCAACAUAAGACAAUGCAGCAGCAAAACAAUUUCAGUGCAAUUAGCCUAGACAUUCUACUAGAAGCUAUAAACUCUUAAUGGAAUUAGGGAAAGCACAUAGUAUAAUCAGGAGAUAAACCUAUCAAGACAUAUUAAGAUAGAUGAGAUUAGGUUUACUCCCUUGGUUAAGAUGAUAAGGAGUGGUUCUCAAAGUUACCACUUGAAUCCUUACUUCUUCUUCUUCUCUUAUUGCAAUCACCCUUCUGAAUUCACCACCAUGAUGGAAUGCUUGUGGAUGCUUCAGCUACUUCUUCAAUCACCUCACAAUAGAAGCCGCCUUGAUAGAGUAGCCUUCUUCUUCACACAGCCAAGAGUGCUCUGUCUUAGUUUGAGCACCCUCUUGAAUAGGCACGCCACUGCCUAGACCCGGUUGGCUUCUUCUUCUGGUACUUGCAAUGUUAAGAAGAAGAACACCAGUGAGUUUUACAACCAUCUGUGCUUCUCCCUUCUUGUAACACCUCUCCAUUGUACACACAAUGGGCAUCAUUCUUUCUCUUUCAACUCGGAUUUGAUGAUGAACUAGGAACACCUUUUCUGAACCUGAAACAUCACUCAAACUCUAGCAAAGAUAAGACACAUUUGCAUUGGGAUCAAUCCUUGACUUCAUCAAGUUUGAUCACCAAUGUCUCAAGCUUUAUAGCAUUAGAUAGAAUCAAGACAAUGUCAAGUUCUUAUCUAUGCAAGCAACCAUUCUCUAAAUACUAAGCAAGACCUUAUCAGAUUCAAGUCAAAGUAUUUAGGCACUUUUAAACACUCCUUAAUAUGCAACUUAGACUUUAAUCUAAAUGCAACAAUACAAGGCAGUAUGCAUUAAUCUUAAUCAGUUUCUAACUCAUAACAGCAAGCAUGAUAAUAUAAUCUAUCAUCUUAACAAGACAAUUUUAAUUUAGAACUGACAUUAAGCAUUUAACCAUUUUCAAUCUUAUUAAUGUCAAACCUUGAUUAAUAACUUAUCAAGUUUGAUUCCUACUAUCACAAGCAAUGCAACAGAUAGACACAAGGCAUUAUCAAGUUCUAUUCUUUGCAAGCUAACUCUCUAAGUACAAGCAGGAUCCUAACAGAUUCAAGACAAGUUACUUAGGCACUCUUAAGAGCUUCUUUACUCAGCACUUAGACAUGAAUCUAAUGCUUCAAUGUCAGACAGCCAGCGGAUUCAUUUCAUGAAAAACAAUCAGGUUUAGACGUCUACUAACUUCCUGACAAGCAUCAUUAUAUCUGGGACUACACAGUUCUCAGCAUUACUUCAAUCAAUUUCAGUUCAUGAACACAUGAUUCAAACAAUAAGUUUUAAUAUCUUAGCAAACUCAUGGCUGAACUAGAGCAAUCACUUUAUUCUUCAAAACACUAAACAAGCCUUUAAAGCAUCUUGGGAUAUACACAGCAUAUCAAUCACCACACCACCUCAACAUUUCUAUACUCAAGCUUUUUAUUAAAGAGGGAAAGAGAUCCAGCUUACAGCCAAGGAACUUUUACUAGUUCCUUGAAUCUCCAUGGUUCAUGGCCAGAUGUUGAGCUCUUGGUGUCGUAUAACACCCCUUCUUCUUUCAUGAACCAUCCUCUUGAACCCACCAUGGCUGAGACACCUCCUUUUCUCCCUGUCAAGUCGCCAAAACCAGUCCCAAGUAGAAAGCUGUCACCUUUCUUCUUGAACCACCACUAAGACUCAAGGAUCUAGCUCUUGUAUAGUGUUGUCAAACCACUUCAAGGCUUUGUUCUUCAGGGUCUCCUUUCUUCAGGUCGAGCUUGAUAGGUCAGGAUAGAGCACAUACAGCUUCUCAAGCACCUCGGAUGUGUUUAUCUUCCUCCUGAAGAUGAACAAACGUUGGCUGGACCAAAGAGCUUCUUCUUUGCUUCAAACAGCCAUGGAAGUGGGCUUGAGCUUUGCGGAAGUUAGAUACCAGGUUCUGAUGAACCUGGCUCUGAUACCAUGAGAUUUUUAUAAGGAUUCACUCAAGGUGUGUGUGAGAAAGUGUUUAGGAGAGUUUAUGUUAACAGAUUUGAGACUUAGGAGUAUGGGGAGAGAUUUAGAGUAUGAAAGAGACUAGGUAACAAGAUUAAAGAGACUGAGAGACUUAGAGAAUAGAUUAGAGACUUAGUAUCAAGAACAGACUUUCAUAGAACAUGAAGGAGAAGGGUUUCCCCCCUUACUCACUUAAGAGAUUACAAAACGUCCAUACAUCAGUUUAUAUAAGCUUUCACAAUCUGAAACUCAUAAACCUAAAUCUGAUGGCUCUAAAGGACUUUGGGAAAUGAAUGGCUUGGAUGUAUCUUUGGAUCUGGUCAAGGCUGGCUGAAUGGUGAUUGGUUCUCCCUUGCUGGCGCCUGAUUGCUUUACUUAAAGCUCCAUGUAUCUUCCCUCUCCUUUGGCCAGAUACAUGAUCUCUUCUUUGCCUUUACUUUACAGCUCACGCCAGCUUGCACAUUUGAAUUUGAAUAGGCUGUAUGGAUAAGAAACCUUAUCCAUAAACGGUCAAGAGAGCACAACACCUUCCUGGUUACUUCCUAAAGCAUCUCGGACAGUAUAUGCCUUUAGGAUCAUUGCUCUCUUUCCCGUUUGUUCCCUAAGCCUUCUUCAUGCCUUGCAUCACAAGUCUUCAUCAGCUGAGUGUACGGAUUAGGGUUGCAUUUCUCACAUUGCGCCCUAUCUUUGCACAACUCCAAAACAUCCCAAGACUUGAUAGAAACUCUUUUGGAUCGACCAUGUCCUUACCGGGCCGUACCAUCCGUACAGCCGGCCGUACAUGGCCGUCCCUAUCUUUGCACCAUCAACCUUUCUCUCCUAAACUCAUCCAAAGGCUACUCCACUUCUAUCUGAACUCUUCUUAGCCAUUGUCCCAACCUUGUAUCAGCUUCUCAUCACUUUCUGAAGCUUCAUAGAACUCUUCUCAAGAUCUUCAAGAGCUUGCCCUAUUUAUGCACAAGCUCCAUUCUUCUCUUCAGUUCAACAAACCCUAUCCCUAGCUUCUCCAACAGCACCCUCAGUGUUGUUGCUCUAUCAGAUGGGGCUUGAGACAAAUCCUUCAGAUUUUCCCACUCCUUUUCUUCAUAAUACCCUUUUGAUUCAAUAAACUUCACUUCUCUAGAUACCAUCACUCUCCUUGCUUCAGGAUCAUAGCACUUGUAUUCCUUCUGAGUGAUAGAGUAUCCAAUGAACAUAGCCUUAGUACUCUUUGCCUCCAGCUUGUUUCUCUGUUCUCCUGGAGUCAUGACGUAGCAUACACACCCAAAUACUCGUAGGUGAUCAAUAAAAGGCUUGCUCUUAUUCAGCACCUCAAAUGGAGACAGAUUCUUCAGUAUCUUGGUUGGGACCCGGUUGAUGAGAUAGCAAGCAGUCUGUACAGCAUCUCCCCAAAAACGUUUUGGGACAUUUGCAUGAAACAUCAUCGACCUAGCAACCUCCAUCAAGUGCCUAUUCUUCCUCUCAGCUACACCAUUCUGCUGUGGUGUGUAGGGACAACUGGUCUGAUGCACAAUCCCAUGCUUGGCUAGAUGACUCUUAAAGGCAUUGCUGAUGUAUUCACCCCCGUUGUCUGAUCUCAGUACCUUCACAGUGGCAUUGUAUUGAUUAGAUACAUAUGCUUGGAAGUUCAUAAAAGCUUCUAGCACCCUAUCUUUAGAUGGAAGCAAUGUGAGCCAUGUAUACUUAGACUUCUCAUCAAUGAAUGUCACAAAGUAUUUAUGGCUGUCUCUAGACAUGCAUGGAGCGGUCCACACAUCCGAGUGAACUAGAUCAAAGCAAUGCUCAUAAGUAGUCUCAGAUGUUGGGAAAACAGUCCUACAAUGCUUUCCUAAUAUGCAUGCUUCACAAUUCAAGUGAUUGAAUGACAUAUUAGGGAUUAUCAAUUCAAUGGCACGAGCAUGAGGAUGUCCUAAUCUAGCAUGCCAAGUAAUACUAUCAAUCUUCUCAGCAGUACUACUCAAGCAAAUAGAAUCAAAGGGAUUAGAGGUCUUAGCUAAGUUGAGGUGGUAUAGCUGAUUCUUGCUGUCUCCUCUGCCAAUGACUCUCCCAGUCUUCAAAUCUUGAAACUCUACUUCAUCAGGUCUGAAUACUACUUGACAAUCAAGAUCAAUGGUAGCUUUCUUCACAGAUAAUAGAUUUGAAGUGAACUGAGGCAUGUAGAAGGCAGCCGUGUCCUUCUCAAACAGUUUUAGCUUUCCCACUCCUUCUAUUGGGAUCAUGACACCAUUAGCUAUCAUAACACUCCCUGUUGCAGCCUUGAUCUCACUUAUAAGCCUCCUAUCACUGAUCAUAUGAUGACUUGCUCCAGAAUCAAUCACAAUGGGUUUAGAAGCUCCGGAUUGUAUAGCAUGCUUCCUGCUUGCUGCUAAGGCUUGUACUUGUUCCAUGAACACUCUCCAUUCCUUCCUGGUGAUGCGAUCAUCAGCUCCACUCCCUUUCUCCUGCUCUUUUAACACCCCACUGUCUUCUACUGAUUCCCCCAUGUAGGCUGAGUAAGAACACUCUCCCACAACUCUCUUCCUACCCUUUCCUAUGUUGAUAGAAGCUUUGGAUAGCAUUCUGCACCUUCUCUUCUUCCGGAAGCCCUCACUCCUACUCCCGGUUAGCCUCCAUGAGCUCUCACUCCUACUCAUGGUUAGCUUCUGGAAGCUCUCACUCCUACUCCAAGUUGGCUUCCAUGAGCUCUCACUCCUACUCAUGGUUAGCCUCUCAUCAUCUCUCAUUAUCUCAUACGCCCUUCUUAUAAGCACACAGACCUCUUCCAUUUCCGGAAGCUGUUCCCCUCUUAGAACCAUCUCCACCAGCCACCCAUAUGAUGACUCCAUGCUCGCCAAGAGCUUCAAGACUGUCGCUUGCUCUUGUGUAGUAUCCCCAUCCACAUGGGAUCUCAACCCUUGUAGUUCAACCCACAAAUGUUGUAGCUUCCUCACAUGGUUAUUAAACCCUUCUCUUCCUGGUUUAACUUCACUAAUCACCUUCUUGACUUCAUACACUCUCCUAAGACUGAUCUUGUUCUCAUAAACAUCUUCAAUCUUCUCAAGCAGUGUACUUUCUUCAAGACUAAAGCAAUCUCCACUUGUUUCUCUUGCUGUCUGAUCUUUCUCACCAGCUUUACCCUUCAAAGACUCUUCCUUCUCAUGGUUUCUCCAAACUCCACACCUUUUCAGAGUUGUUUUCAUUUGUGAGAACCACCCCCACUCAUUCCCUCUCUCUUUCUUCUCUUCACGCCUUGUUGUACCAGAUUGAAGCAGCUCCAUUUUCUUUAGCCUAGAUCUUCCCUCAAAUGCUUCUAAUCUCUCACGCCAAGCUUAACCACAAGCUAGACACCUCUUCUGACCUUGUCAAACACCUAAAGGGACUCCCUUGAAGCUGACUCUCCAAAAGAAACACCAACAGACACAAACUUGACUUUUAAAGGAUCUAGCUCUUGAAAAAAUCUCAAGAACUCUCAAGAACACUCAAGAACACUAAAGAACAUUUGGAAAAACGAAAUCACUCUCUCCUUUUAAAGGAACCUGGCUCUGAUACCAUAUUAGAUUUUGUGAUUUAAAGAGUGAUUAAGUUUAAUCUGAGAAUUAAAGAGAUUGGAGAUUAAGAACAAGAGAGAGAGAGACUCAAAACUCCAUUAGAUUGAUUAAUGAGAGAGUUUACAACAUAUAUAGAUAAGAGAUACACUAAAACGUCCAGGUUCAGUCUAGCUAGGAUAAGAAGCAUGUGUAGUCAAAGAUGCUUGAUUUAAACUAGCCAAUAAGGUUCCUCACAUGCUUGGGUAUCUUGCUUUAACUUUCCAGCUAGUGCCAGCCUGUCUAAAGCUCUCUAGCAUUGACCAGACCUUAUCCAAACUCCUCCUUGCUUAUCCAGACUCCUCCUGGCGUGUUUCACUCUCCAAAUGGAUGCAAGGUAACUUCCAAAGCCUUUUAACUUAGUUACCACAGUAACAAUUAAGUUACUGUGGUAAAUCUCCAAAGUUACUGUCUGCUCCAACUCUCUUCCUCUAUCCAUGUAUCAACUCUUCAUCACUUCAUCUCAACACUUUAUUCUCUCAUCUCAACAGUGGAGAAUCACCAGGAAGUUGAAUAAAUCUCAUAGGAGUUGGCAUGAAGAAGUUAUCCCACUUUCAAAUCAGGUGAUUACAGUUUCCCAGUUUGGGAAUAGCACAACUUCUUCGUCGUUCCAAUCAAACCAGGAUGAAUCACUUUGUGAAAAGCUUGAUUUGGAUACAUAAAGUGGUGGAGAAUCACCAGGAAGUUGAAUAAAUCUCAUAGGAGUUGGCAUGAAGAAGUUAUCCCACUUUCAAAUCAGGUGAUUCCAGUUUCCCAGUUUGGGAAUUGCACAGCUUCUUCAUCGUUCUAAUCAAAACAGGAUGAACCACUUUGUAAGAAGCUUGAUUUGGAUACAUAAAGUGGUGGACAAUCACCAGGAAGUUGAAUAAAUCUCAUAGGAGUUGGCAUGAAGAAGUUAUCCCACUUUCAAAUAACAUGAUUCCAGUUUCCCAGUUUGGGAAUAACACAGCUUCUUCGUCGUUCCAAUCAAACCAGGAUGAAUCACUUUGUGAAAAGCUUGAUUUGGAUACAAAAAGUGGUGGAGAAUCACCAAGAAGUUUAAUAAAUCUAAUAGAAGUUGGGAUGAAGAAGUUAUCUCACUUUCAAAUCAGGUGAUUCCAGUUUCCCAGUUUGGGAAUAGCACAGCUUCUUCGUCGUUCCAAUCAAACCAGAAUGAAUCACUUUGUGAAAAGCUUGAUUUGGAUACAUAAAGUGGUGGAGAAUCACCAGGAAGUUGAAUAAAUCUCAUAGGAGUUGGCAUAAAGAAGUUAUCCCACUUUCAAAUCAGGUGAUUCCAGCUUUCAAGUUUGGGAAUAGCACAGAUUCUUCAUCCUUCCAAUCAAACCAGGUUGAAUCACUUUGUGAAAAGCUUGAUUUGGAUACAUAAAGUGGUGGAGAAUCACCAGGAAGUUGAAUAAAUCUCAUAGGAGUUGGCACGAAGAAGUUAUCCCACUUUCAAAUCAGGUGAUUCCAGCUUUCAAGUUUGGGAAUAGCAUAGCUUCUUCAUCGUUCCAAUCAAACCAGGAUGAAUCACUUUGUGAAAAGCUUGAUUUGGAUACAAAAAGUGGUGGAGAAUCACCAGGCAGUUUAAUAAACCCAUAGGAGUUGGGAUGAAGAAGUUAUCCCAUUUUCAAAUAACGUGAUUCCAGUUUUCCAGUUUGGGAAUAGCACAGCUUGUUCGUCGUUUCAUCAAACCAGGAUGAAUCACUUUGUAAGAAGCUUGAUUUUGAUACAUAAAGUGCUGGAGAAUCACCAGGAAGUUGAAUAAAUCUCAUAGGAGUUGGCAAGAAGAAGUUAUCCCACUUUCAAAUCAGGUGAUUCCAGUUUCCCAGUUUGGGAAUAGCACAGCUUCUUCAUCGUUCCAAUCAAACCAGGAUGAAUCACUUUGUGAAAAGCUUGAUUUGGAUACAAAGAGUGGUGGAGAAUCACCAGGAAGUUUAAUAAAUCUCAUAGGAGUUGGGAUGAAGAAGUUAUCCCACUUUCAAAUCAGGUGAUUCCAGCUUUCAAGUUUGGGAAUAGCACAGCUUCUUCAUCGUUCCAAUCAAACCAGGAUGAAUCACUUUGUGAAAAGCUUGAUUUGGAUACAAAAAGUGGUGGAGAAUCACCAGGAAGUUUAAUAAACCCAUAGGAGUUGGGAUGCAGAAGUUAUCUCACUUUCAAAUAACGUGAUUCCAGUUUCUCAGUUUGGGAAUAGCACAGCUUCUUCGUCGUUCCAAUCAAACCAGGAUGAAUCACUUUGUAAGAAGCUUGAUUUAGAUACAUAAAGUGGUGGAGAAUCACCAGGAAGUUGAAUAAAUCUCAUAGGAGUUGGCAGGAAGAAGUUAUCCCACUUUCAAAUCAGGUGAUUCCAGUUUCCCAGUUUGGGAAUAGCACAGCUUGUUCGUCGUUCCAAUCAAACGAGGAUGAAUCACUUUGUAAGAAGCUUGAUUUGGAUACAUAAAGUGGUGGAGAAUCACCAAGACUAGGACAGGAGAUCAACUACUGGAUUCAGCUUCUGCACUAGAGCAUGACACCACCUUCUGUUUCUUACUCUUCCAAGUCACCAACUUGCCUCCAAUGAAUGUGCAAUAGCCGGUUGUUGAUCUUCUGUCAGCUCUAUCACCUGCUGCACAGCUUCUUCGUCGUUCCAAUCAAACCAGGAUGAAUCACUUUGUGAAAAGCUUAAUUUGGAUACAAAAAGUGGUGGAGAAUCACCAGGAAUUUUAAUAAAUCUCAUAGGAGUUGGGAUGAAGAAGUUAUCCCACUUUCAAAUCAGGUGAUUCCAGUUUCCUAGUUUGGGAAAAGCACAGCUUCUUCGUCGUUCUAAUCAAAACAGGAUGAAUCACUUUGUAAGAAGCUUGAUUUGGAUACCUAAAGUGGUGGAGAAUCACCAGGAAGUUGAAUAAAUCUCAUAGGAGUUGGCAUGAAGAAGUUAUCCCACUUUCAAAUCAGGUGAUUCCAGUUUCCCAGUUUGGGAAUAGCACAGCUUCUUCGUCGUUCUAAUCAAACCAGGAUGAAUCACUUUGUAAGAAUCUUGAUUUGGAUACAUAAAGUAGUGGAGAAUCACCAGGAAGUUGAAUAAAUCUCAUAGGAGUUGGCAUGAAGAAGUUAUCCCAUUUUCAAAUCAGGUGAUUCCAGUUUCCCAGUUUGGGAAUAGCACAGCUUCUUCGUCGUUCCAUUCAAACCAGGAUGAAUCACUGAAAGAUUAAGAGAAUGAAAUGAUUUAGAGAAGAUUAAGGAACAGAAUGAGAGAUUAUGAAGAGAUUAGACU
RNAcentral lists this long non-coding RNA (87932 nucleotides) under Brassica napus (rape). Its description in RNAcentral is "long non-coding RNA (BNAP_LNC018439)". The record is from RNAcentral. Lineage: Eukaryota; Viridiplantae; Streptophyta; Magnoliopsida; Brassicales; Brassicaceae.